RNAcentral lists this long non-coding RNA (75442 nucleotides) under Prunus persica (peach). Its description in RNAcentral is "long non-coding RNA (PPER_LNC005595)". Lineage: Eukaryota; Viridiplantae; Streptophyta; Magnoliopsida; Rosales; Rosaceae. The record is from RNAcentral.
UAACGUUUUUAUUUAGUAGAAAUUACAUUUAUAAUUUAGCCGUAAAGGGCACUGAUCACAAGGACUAAUACAAACAAAUGAAGGAUACAUCAACAACACCUAGACAAUAAGGUAUCCCUCCAACCAUAUCCAUAACCGGCCAAAGCACCUCCACCGCAUAAAGUCAACAAACUUGGAUAAACGAGGCACGUCGACAACAUAAAGUAAAAUUAUAACUAAACCCUCACAAGGAAAGACAACUAACUCAUAAUGAGUUGUUGCAACUUAUUCUGACUCAGAAAAAGUCAAACAAAAAGUUAAAACAUGAAAAACAGCUCGCACAACCUCUAUGGAAGAGCCAUUGUACUUUAUCCAUCCUUGGGAUUCAAAUUUGAUACACAAAUUUGGUAGCCCUACCAUUAUUGUUCCCACAUCUUCGGAUUUUCUUCUUACUAAUUGAGGAUCUCUUGAGAAAACUUUUGAACCAGUGCGUCGAAAGUUUUGAGUGUCUUUCUAGUCCAUUGUCAUAAUCAAUAUAGUUGAUACCAAAUCGAACAGUAUAUCCUUCGCUCCAUUCAAAGUUGUCUAGCAAAGACCAUGCAAAGUAUCCCUGCACAUUAGCACCCUCCCUACAAACCCCCAAAAAAGAAGAAGAACAUCAUUGGUUCAAUAUAGUGAUUAAAUAACCAAAAUGUAAGAAGGCGAAAACAUAUAUAGCCUUAAUUAAUUUGUUGACAAAAACUUACUUCAUUGCUGCUUGGAGGUAACAGAGGUGGCGAUAGUAGUAGUCAAUUCUAUUAGCAUCAUUAAGGGCUUGCUCGAGUGAUAAUUUGGGAUUAUUGAACUCAUCCAUGCCUGCAAUAUAAUGCAGUAUCAAAUGCAUACAAUUUGUUUAACCGAAGAAAAAAUGUACAUAUAGUUUUAAGUUUAGAGUUUACAACACUUCACUUUAUUUUACACCAUUAUACAUAAAUGUGAAACAUUGAUGAUGCAAUUAAUUAAUGUUUAAAAAUAUUAAUUACGUACCAUUCUCAGUAAUGUACAUAAUUGGAUCAUUAUACUUUUCCUUUGUGUAGAGUACAAGAUCGUAAAGUCCUUUUGGGUAAACAUAUAACCAGUCUGAAGCAGCCUGCAAUCCCAUUUGAAGAUCAGUGAGACUUUUAGCACUUUAUGUGUAUAUGGAAAACAAAAUAUAUGCAUAUAUAGCUAUUAAUUCUCAAAAUCCCAAUAACUUAAGCUAAUAAUUUAUUGCGUACCCGUGGACCAAUGGGGACCCCAUUAAGAUCAGCUGCUAUAACAUAAAUGAAUAUGAAUAUUAGGAUCUAAUUAUUUGGAGAACUACAUUAAUUUCUUGAAAUUUUCAAUUUGUACUCACUUGUAACAUUAACAUGAACAUCUGUUAGGUAGCUUGGAGGUGUAGUUACAGAAUAAUCCUUAGGAUAAGCGCUUGCAUAUCUAGCAGAGUAGUAGUUUAUUCCAAUAUAGUCAUAUGACCCACUCAGUGACUUGGAUUGUUCUUCCGUGAAAUUCGGUAACCGUGCACCAAGAAUGGAUCGCAUGAUCUGCGGGUAGUCACCUCUUGUCAAUGGGUCCAUGAACCUAUGAAAAUUCCAAACGUGAACUUAUAACAUUAUAUAAACUACCACAGGCUACCUAACUGAAGUUAUAAUUCAAAAAUAAAGCAUUUAAAUGAAUUGAUAUAUAAAUCAAUAAUACACUUACCAUCCAUACAUAAAAUCCAAAGCUUGAAAUGCAGCGUCUUUAUCUUGUUGUGACUCUGAAGCGGGCUCAAACCAAUGUGAUACAACAGUUAUUCCUAUGACACCAUUUUGAUAUGCCUGCUCCAGAGAGAUAAAUAAAAAAUAAAAAAUUGGUUGAUUUAAAGCAAAGAAAAAAAAAAAUUAUAUUAUUACAACCGUCGUUUUUCUCAAAAUAAAAAGUAUUCCCACUUAUGUUGUUACAUAAUAAUACUAGUUACUCGUUGGACCUCAAUUUCUAAAAGAAAAAGAAAAAAGACUAACGGAAGUACCUGAUAUUUUUCUCUGUACAAUUUUACAGCAGCUGCAUGAGCAAGGAGUAGAUAGUGUGUCACCAAAUAUGGUUCAAUACCCGAAUCUCCACCAAGGCAAUUUUGGUUGUACCAAUCAGAGCAUCGUCCUGGUGCAUGGAUCCCGAUUGUGUAACCAUGGUUACUAAUGGUAUAUGGCUCAUUAAGUGUGGUCCAAUGCUUUACUCGAUCACCAAAUUCCUUAUAACAAAGGUCUGCGUAUGCUUUAAAGUCAUCGCUGCGUGUACACAUUGAAAUAUGUAUUUAUUGUAUAUAAUAGUAUUUAUAUAAUUAAGUGAUCAAUAUUAUACAAAGGAUGGAAUUUGUCCACUUACACAAUACGAGGGCUUAACAAACCACCAUAUUCGUCUACUAAGGCUUGGGGAACAUCCCAGUGGAAGAGUGUCACUAAUGGCUCUAUACCUAUAUGUAGCAUGACCAGUAAAAGAAAAUUAGAAGUUUGAUUAAACAACUGCAGGUACUGUUGUUAUAUUAGGAGGAUUUUAUGAGAUUGGGAGCUGUAUCACCAUUGCGUAGGAGUUCAUUGGUGAGAUUAUUGUAGUAUUCGAUUCCCUUCUUGUUAAUUCCACCACUUAGUUUUCCAUCUAAUAAUAAUUAAAACAAAACAAGAAAAAUAUAAGCCAAUACCUAUCAUGAAAUAGGAAUUAAAUUGAAUAAAAGAUGUUAAACAUUAAAGCGAUUGGUCGCAAUAAUAUAUGUGGAUGCGGAUGAUCAACUUACUUGGUAACAAUCUGGACCAUGAGAUAGAGAACCUAUAAGCAUCCAACCCCAUAUCCUUCAUAAUUGCCACAUCUUCCUAUAAUGACACAAAAGAUGUACAUAAUUAUAAAAAUAACAAAAAGAAGCUAAAAAUUAAGGAUAUCAUCCUUAAUGUCGUGUGUUCAAAUUCAAAUAUAGAAGGUCUACAUAAUACAAUUAUGUGAUUUUCAAACCUUAUAACGGUGAUAUUGAUCAAUAGCAACAUCUCCAUUGCUACCAUCAGUUAUCUUUUCUGCAAUUAAUCAAAUGUAAUUUUAGUUAUAAAUAAAGAUACAAAGUAAUUUAGCUAUCUAGAUAUUUAAAUAGGGGAAUGCUAGCAACCUUCACCGUAACCAUCUUGGUUGGAACUUCUCACUUCUUCUCAUGUGCGAUGGAUUAUUCCUCUUAAUUAAAUUUUUGAAUGAUACAUUAAUACAUUAAAAAAUUUGAGUUUUAUUUUCCAUGAUUACCCUUAUUCAAUUUUUUUACAACUUUCUAACUAUCUUCUUUGAUCUAGGAGAGUUGUCAGAUAUUUGCUGGGUAAGGUCAUAGUUUCUGCGCAGUUCCCAUUGAGCACUUUGUAAGUGAAGAAUAACUAAUUUCCAUGAAGCAUUGGCUUGUUUAUACAUUGUUUAUAGCUUUUGAAAUGAAGUAACUGAUCAUCAAUUUAGUCACCUAAAAAAAUAGAAAAUAGAAGAUUUGUUAACUAAUUGAUUGUUUGAUUCAACAGACCUGGAUGCUCAUGGGUGAAGUUAUCCCAUACGCUUGGUCCUCUACCGUCUAUGUUUGCAGCACCUUCUAACUGAAAUGCACAUACAGAUAUACAUAUAAAACACGAUUUACAGAAUGAAGAUGCCAAUAUUCAUAAAUGACACAUGCUAAGUAAGGUAACUAUAUGAAACAAAAAAUUAAAACAAAUUCAUGAGUAAUGUUAAUUAAGCUCCCAAAAUGCACUGACUUGGUAAGCUGCUGUAGCUGCGCCAAAUGUGAACCCUGGAAAAAGAGUAUCGAAAUGGGUCCUGUUGAGAGUUGCACAAACAACGGGUGGAUCUGUCCUGGCAGCAUUGGUAUUUGCCAAUGCAAAGCCUAGGAGCAGCAGCACCACACACAAGAGCAAAGAGCGGAAUUGCAAUGCCAUAACUGAGUGGAGAGUUUUUGAUGAUCGAGCUAGGUGUGCUCUUCCUGCUAUAUUGCAUGGGGUUUAUAUAGAGGGAGUACAUAACUUCUACACGUGAAAAUAAUAAUUCAAAAGCAUUUUUAUUUCUUUUUUGUAAAGCCAAGCGGGCUUUAAAGCUAAGGUACGGGGACGGACAGAGAAAAGUUGGGACCUUCUUUUUUUUCCUUUUUUCUAUACUACUGUAUAGAAAUCAAUCCAAAGAUUCCAAAGAUUUCUUUUUUCUAUCCUUUUUUCAGAGUCUGAUUUUGCUGCCGUGCCCUAACCUCUGGUUUUGGAAAGAAAAUCUAAUUGCACCCUUCUCCAUUAAUGUUUUCUGUCCUAUCUCCAUCAAUUGGCGUUAAUUGCUCAUAACAAAUUUCUCUCUCAUGGAAACUCUUGGUCAUCUAGACCUAAGAUUGUUGAGAGUGUAAAUCUAACUCGUUGCCAAUUAAUUUUGAGUUGAAAUACUCAUGUUCUAAUUGAGUAUAUCAUAACGUAUUAUGAUCAAGAACCAUGAUAAAAUGACUGGUUUAAUAUAGGCCCCUACAAUUUCUAUUUCCUAAAUACCAUCCAAUUAAAAAUUGUUAUUGGAAUUUAGGCCCAAACAUUAUUUUUCACAAAAUGAAGUAAUAGGUAUGUUAUUUUUCCAACAUAAAAUUGUAUGUACACUAUUAUAUUUAUAAAAUAAUAAUAUAAUAGAUAAUUAAUCACGUAUACUUCAUAAAUAAAUAAAUAAAAACUUUUUUAUAUUAAAUAAACUGAUUAGGUAUGUUAAAUAUGAAUUUAUCGUUAAAUUAAAAAAAAUUCCGAAUGAAUUCCAACAUCUAUUUGGAGAUCUUUCCAAAUUCAAUGUGUCUCAUUAUUAGUUACAAUCCAAUUAAAAAUUGUUUCUAUAUAUUGGUCUACAUUAAUAUACAAAAUGCAAUAAUGGCUUUGUUGGCGGUAUUUUAGGAAUCAAAAAAUACAAGAAAUUCGAUUUGGAGCUUGAUUAGGUAACUUGCCGAGUUGGAUCCUACUCAAGAAGAGUUUGCUGAAAAUAAUGAUAAAGGAAGAAGAAGAAGAAGAAGAAGGGAAGUUGCUGGUUCGAUGUCAGAUUCUUUAGGGAAUAAUCAAGUAUUGUUAUAUAUUAUUAUUCUUCUUCUAAGUGUGAGGAAAUUGGUAGUCAUCUUUGUAAAUGAACUUGUAAAUUAACACAAGUACGCAAUGGUCUAAAGAAAGAUUUAAGAUUGUGGACUAAAAGGAUAUAUACAUCAAGGUAUUAAGUUUGUUCUGAAUUCGACACCCAUGUUUUUUUGUUCUUUGUCCAACAGCCAUUAGUUAUAGUGCACCUUCUAUAAAGAUUUCAUAUAUAAUAAAAUACGACGUCGUCCUUAUAUUUGACUCUCAGGAUUAUGAGAAUGGUCUUGGCAUUAUUCUAGGUUGUUUUGUUAUACCAUGUGAUUAUGUCAUUCCACUCCAGUUCCAAAUCCCCAUCAGCGAACUCAGGUGCAAUAAGAUGGGCACUCUAAUUUAGGGGGAGGAAAUCGAUCUCGAGUGCCGUAAUGUGGGCACACUACCUUGGCCAACUAACCCAACUCACAUUUGCAAAAAACAAAAGUUGCAAGGAAAGAAAAACUUGAUAGAAGAAAUCAUUUUUAAUGACUACAUCAAUUUCUCUCAUAUAAUUGUGGCAUGAAAAACAUAUUAAAUUUGCAAGACCUAGAGCGGGGGUUAAAUUUGCAUCAAUCUUUAAUUUUUUUUCGCAAAGACUAAGAUGUUGACACUGCUUAAGAAGUUAGAGGUGGCUGCGCUUUGUUGUUACAUGUGCUUCAAAUAUUUAAUGUUUUAGGUCUGUAAGAGUGGCUAUAGUAUUUAUUCGCUUACUAUUAUGUAUGAAAUCAAAAAGGAAAAAGGGAUUACUUUUUUGAUACCUUAUCAAAAUUCAGGUAAGGUGUCAAUCUCUAAGGGCCAGAGUAUGACAAUGUGAAGGUGAAAAUGUUAUAUAUUGGAAAGUUAAUGAACUUAGUAAGGGCUUAUGAAGAGUUGAGCUACUCUCUCUUUUGCGAAUUGGUUUUGGGUGAACCUCAACUUCCUAUAUAGUAUCAGAGCGCGUUUGUCCACGUGUGAAACCUCAACUUCUGCUCAGUUGUGGUGAUUGUCCUUAAAUAAUACCUCAAUCACAUUUUCGUCCUCCAAUUUUAAUCGGGCUUAAAUUGGGGCUCUCGUUGCAUAGCAUGUAUUCUCAAUACGUCCUCUUUCCAGUAGCCUGACUUACUUUUAAUUGAGUCAUGUGCAAGUAAUAGAAAGUAGAUUUAGCCCCAUACUACCACCCAGCUAUGCUGCUCUACACCUACCCAGCUAUAUUGCAUGGGGUUUAUAUAGUGGGAGUACGUAACUUCUACACGUGAAAAUAAUAAUUCAAAAGCCGUUUUAUUUCUUUUUUGCUUUCUUUUUUUUAAAGCCAAGCGGGCUUUAAAGCUAAGGGACGAGGACAGACAGAGAAAAGUUGGGACCUUCUUUUUUUUUCCUUUUUUCUGUACUAUAGAAAAGCAAUCCAAAGAUUCCAUUUGGACUACCUUCAGAGUCUGGUUUUGCUCCAGUGCCCUAACCUCUGGUUUUGGAAAGAUAACCUCUGUUUUCUAACCUAUCUCCAUCAAUUGGCGUUAAUUGCUCAAAACAAAUUUCUCUCUCAUGGAAACUCUUGCUCAUCUCUAUGGGCGAACUCUUCUUCAUUGGUUCCUUAGAAAGUAUUUCUCUCUCUCUCUCUCUCUCUCUCUCUCUCUCUCUCUAAAUUUAUAAAUAAAUAAAUAAAAAACUAUUUCUGAGAGAGUGACAGGGCAAAGGAUAUUCAUAUCAAACAACCAAAAAAUCAACCAAAGACAAAAACUCAAAAUGAUCCCUUGAUCUCUGAGAACCUUCUGUUAAUGUAUGCAUUUUGGGUUUUUCUUUUGGCUUCCCUUGACAACUUUGUAAUAGGAUUUCUAUUGUUAUUUAUCAAGCUCAAGUUUAGAUUGAGAAUAGCUUCUCUAGGUGUUCUUAACUAACAACUAUCAUACGGAGGUUCUGUUAGAGUUUCGGUAAUGCAAGUUUGUUUUGAUUUGAAUAAGCUCCUAUUUUUCAGGAGCUAGUGGUUCAUUUAAGUUAGGAGUUGAUCAGGUCAAGUAUGACCAAGUUGUUUGCUUAGUGGCCACAGUCUUCGGGAUGUGGAGACGUGGUUUGUUUUUUAAAUUGUUUUUUCAGUUGUAAUGGCUAUUUAAGCCAAACAUGUUCUGUUAAUAAGUUUGUGGAUUAUCUCACGAUCUUUACAGCCUCUUAGAGCUAGGUCUUUGAUACUCCAACAGGUUCAUGCAAAUUGGCAAAGGUAAAUUGUGCAUUGCAUAACAUUGCACUAUACUGUUUUUAUAAAAUGAUGACUAGUCAUCUGUUUCUUGGAUGACUAGUCAUCCUUGCUCUCCAACUUGAUAACCAACUUUUUUGUCCUAUUCCUUUUUCUCUCUCUGCUGCCACAUGGGAUUCUGACCUAAGGGAAUUUUUUGGUCUGUAUAGGUCUAGCGAUUCCUCUUUUGGCAAGCCGUCUCUUUUGUGUGGAAUUGGAGGAAAGAUUGGUUUUCUAUCUUUCCGUUCUUCUUCCUCAAGAGAGAACAAUAUUUCAUCUAUGAGUUUUUCCAAAUUGAUUUCUUUAUAAAUAAAAACUGCAUUUGAAAUAUGAAUCUGCAUCUAGCUUCAUAAAAACAUUCUCUCAUUUAUAUCUAGGUCAGAUUCACUACUGAUUUCUUCAAGAGUAUGGUUUCUUGAAGAAAUUGGUUAUUCUCCUUUGAAUCCAAAUUUUGGUUUCUGUUUGAGUUGAGCUUGCAAGCUGGUGCCAUGGGAUGAAUGAGCUGAAGAAGGAGCUGCCAUUGCCAUGAAGAACUGGGCUUCAAGCUUUGCUAAGUUGGAGAAGAAGAUUGCACAAAGGAGGUAUUGCUCAUCUUCCUAAAUAGAUCUAGGUUUUGCUUGAGCUUGCUUGUGUUCCUUUGUAAGAAUCUUUUUUCUACUUAGUGGAUUGCCUGGUCGGUUAAUGACCUCCAGUUUUUCCCAAUUGUGGGUUUCUGGGUGAACAAUUUCUGAUUACAUCCUUGUAAUUUUCUAGGUUUGUGUUCUUGGUGGUCGACUAGUCAUCGUAUGAAUUGUGGUUGACUAGUCAUCAUUAUCUGCUGCUUGGUGUUUGCUUGAUUAUGCUGUCUUCACAUACUUUCACCAUAGUUGUUGCUAGCACAGGGUUUGUUGCACUUUUGGCUGAAUAUCUUUUAAGUUAACCCAUCGUCACCUAAGUACCGAUUUCACCUUCAAACAAACUGAUUCUCUUAUUUAUAUGCCUAGUCAUACUGUUUGUGUUAUAUCUGAAAUAUUGAUGAAUGUUCACACAGUUAUCACCCUAGUUGUUGCUAGCACAGGAGAUGCCUAGAUUGAGAGGUCUUUCUGAGUGCCUAGGUUGUCAUGUAGUUAUCUUCUAGGCUUGCAGGGAUUUAAAUAUUUGAUAUGUUGUGCAUAUGUGUUAUGCUUAUAUGUUAAAGGGUCUAUGACUAGUUAUUGACUAGUCAUAUUGUCUCCACGUUUAUUUGAUAAUUAUUGUCAUACAUCUGUCCAUUCGGGUUUUAAUUUACCUCCUUCACCUAUGUACCAAUUGCAGAGAGAGAGAGAGAGAGAGAGAGAGAGAGAGAGAGAGAGAGAGAGGGACUGAUGGAGACAAGACAGACAAAAGAGCUUGAGUGUUUGGCAUGUGUGUUUUUCAAAUUUUGUCGAGCAUAACUUGCGUGUUGGCAUGCCCAAGCCAGACAAAAGCCAAAAGUUUUUUUCUUUUAAAUUCUUUGUACUAUAUUAUAUAUAUAUAUGGGGACAGAUCCAUGACACUAUGUUUUUUACACAAGUUUUGACACAAUUCUUGGGCCAUUAGAUUACUCUACUUUCAGUGGUUGUGAAUAAACUUGACAUGGGAAAUAAUUUUAAUUUCUUAAUUUGACAAUCAUUAAUUUUAUUUUCUCUCACACCAUAAAAAUAAAAGAAACGAUUUUCUCUCUCCUCCCUUUUUCUUGGUAAUCUCUCUUCUUUCUCGUACUCAUCUCUCUCACUCUCUUUCAUGAGACCAUAAAAAAUAUCGGUCUCUUUUUCUCUCUUUAUUUGCAACAAGAGUCUCCUCCCUCCCUCUCAUUCAUGAAACUAGAAAAGACCUCCAUCUCUGUUAAUGUAUGCAUUUUGUUUUUUUUUUUUUUUUUUUGUUUUGGCUUCCCUUGACAACUUUGUAAUAGGAUUUCUAUUGUUAUUUAUCAAGCUCAAGUUUUGAUUAAGAAUAGCUUCUCUAGUUGUUCUUAACGAACAACUAUCAUAUGGAGGUUCAUGCAAAUUGGCAAGGGUAAAUUGUGCAUUGCAUAACAUUGCAUAACAUUGCAUCAUACUGUUUUCAUAAAAUGAUGACUAGUCAUCUGUUUCUUGGAUGACUAGUCAUCCUUGCUCUCCAGCUUGAUAACCAACCUUUUUGUCCUAUUCCUUUUUCUCUCUCUGCUGCCACAUGGCAUUCUGACCUAAGGGAAUAUUUUGGUCUGUAUAGGCCUUGCGAUUUCUGUUUUGGAAAGCUAUCUCUUUUGUGUGGAAUUUGGAGGAAAGAUUGUUUUUCGAUCUUUCCGUUCUUCCUCCUCAAGAGAGAACAAUAUUUCAUCUAUGAGUUUUUCCAAAUUGAUAUCUUUAUGAAAAAACUGCAUUUGAAAUAUGAAUAUGCAACUAGCUUCAUAAAAACAUUCUCUUAUUAAUAUCUAGAUCAGAUUCACUACUGAUUUCUUCAAGAGUAUGGUUUCUUGAAGAAAUUGGUCAUUCUUCUUUGAAUCCAAAGUUUGGUUUCUGUUUGAGUUGAGCUUGCAAGCUGGUGCCAUGGGAUGAAUGAGCUGAAGAAGGAGCUGCCAUUGCCAUGAAGAACUGGGUUUCAAGCUUUGCUAAGUUGGGGAAGAAGAUUGCACAAAGGAGGUUUUGCUCAUCUUCCUAAAUAGAUCUAGGUUUUGCUUGAGCUUACUUGUGUUCCUUUGUAAGAAUCUUUUUCUACUUAGUGGAUUGCCUGGUCGGUUGAUGACCCCCAAUUUUUCCCAAUGGUGGGUUUCUGGGUGAACAAUUUCUGAUUGUAUCCUUGUAAUUUUUCUGGGUUUAUGUUCUUGGUGGUCGACUAGUCAUCGUAUAAAUUAUGGUUGACUAGUCAUCAUUAUCUGCUGUUUGAUGUUUGCUUGAUUAUGUUGUCUUCACACACUUUCACUAUAGUUGUUGCUAGCACAGGGGAUGCCUAGAUUGAUGGGUCCUUCUGAGUGCCUAGGUUGUCACUAGUAAUUCUCUAGGCCUGCAGGUAAAUCAUGGUAUGCUGUGUAUGUUGUUGUUUGGUAUAAUUCAUAUCUAACAGUUGACUAGUCAUAAGUGUGAUUGGCCAAGGUUUAGAGUGUGUGAAGUUUGUUGCAUCUUUUGGCUGAAUAUCUUUUAAGUUUACCCAUCGUUACCUAAGUACCGUUUUCAAUUGGUAUCAGAGCGUCAGCUCUUAAUACAAAUAGAGAGAUCCUAGGAUUUGUUUUGGUAUUUAGGUGUGCUCACUAUGGAACGGGAUCGAGUUGCUGGAUCUUGCAACUCCCCUCCUUAUUUUGAUGGAAACAACUACGCUGCUUGGAGAGAAAAAUUUGAGAUAUUCCUUGAUGCUCUUCAUGAGUACGCAAGUGAGUAUCUCAUAAAAGAGUGGGUUGCUCCUGUCAAGACUGUUGAGAGUAAUGUUGUGCCCAAGCCUAGGUCGGAAUGGACUGAAGCUGAGGUGUUUGCUGCAUAUUCAAACAAGAAGGCCAGAAAUGCCUUAGUUACAGCCUUGUCUAGCUCACAAUUUUCACAUAUACAACACAUCCCAAAUGCGAAACAGGCUUGGGAUAAACUAAGGGUGGUUCAUGAAGGGGAUGACCAAGUUAGAACCCUAAAACUUCAGAUGGUGCUUGCACAAUUUGAAGAACUUAGGAUGUCUGAAACUGAGUCUAUUUCUGAGUUCUAUGGGAGAGUUGAGAUGAUCACAAAUGAAGCCAUGAGUCUCGGUCAACCUAUUGAUGAGCUUCUUGUUGUUCAGAAAAUCCUUCGUGUUCUACCAUCUAGGUUUAGAGCAAAGAAAACCGCAAUCAUGGAGGUCCAAAACUUAAAUGAAAUCAAGCUUGGCAAGCUCGUAGGAAAAUUGAAAACCUAUGAGAUGGAGUUGAAUAUGGAAGAGAAUGAUUCCUCUCUGAAAGGUGGUGAAAAAUCCUCAGGUUUUGAGGAUGAGAUGGCUUUGUUUGUCAAAAAAUUUAGGAGAAUUCUUAGGGAUAAAGGAAAGUUUGCUAGAGAGGGCAGCUCUGGUAGUGAGAGACAAUUUAGACCAUCAACUGAUCGGUCUAAUGAGAGGAACAAGGAUGUCAAACCUUUCACUAAAGAUUUUAGAAAAUCUGUCAAGUGCUUCACAUGUGGAGGCAUUGGGCACUAUGCUGCUGACUGUGCAAACAAUCAGAAAAAAUACUCCAAAGGAAAGGACAAGGCCAUGAAAGUUAGCUGCAGUGAGAGUGAAAGUGAAGUGUCUCAAGAGGAUUCAUCUUCCUCUGAUAAUGAUGACCAACAUGUUGCCUUUGUUGCCUCUGUGCAGCCAGUGUCUGAUGAAUCUGAUUCUGAGUCAGAUGACCUGUCAUACGAGUCAUUAGGAAGAAAAUAUGAUUGUUUGUUCAAAGAGACAUUGUCUUUGAAAGAAGAGAGCCUCAAACUUGAGGCCAACAACCAUGAACUUCAAUAUGAAAUCCUCAUCUUAAAAGAAACCAAAAAGGAGUUGAGUGACAAAUUUGUGUCUCUAGAAAAAGAAUUUGUUGCACUUGUGUCAAUUAGGAGUAAUCUUGAAAAUCAAGUUAAUGUGCUCAAGGAAAGUAAUAUUGGUUUCUAGAACUCAAACAAACUGCUCCUAGGUGAAUUGAAUGAAGCAAAAAGUAAGGUUAUAUCUAUGACCAUUGGUGCCUCAAAAAUUGACAAAAUGUUGACUAUGGGAAAACCUCAUGGGGACAAAGGUGGUCUAGGAUUUAAUCAUUUUGAUUCUAGUUCGUCUAGCUCUACCACUAGGUUUGUCAAGUCAAAAACUCCAACCUUGGCUUCUCUUGAUGCUCAGCCGGUAGUCAAGAAACCUAAGUUUGUUCCAACUUGUCACAGGUGUGGGUUGACUGGUCAUAUUCGACCAGUCUGUCAUAUGUACAAAAAGGAUAAGACUAGAAAAUUGUCUUCAAAAUCUAAAAGGAACCCCAGAUCUUUGCAAGAUCAGGUUGAUCAUUUGCUAAAAGAAGUAACUAAGAUUGCCAAACUUGUCUCCCUUAAAAUGUGUUCACCUACUGUGCCUAAGUCUACUUGGGUUGAAAAAGGUCAUACCAAAUGUCUUGUUGUGCUAAAUGCUUUUGCUGCAUCAAACACCAACUCUUGGUACUUUGAUAGUGGCUGUUCCAAACAUAUGUCUGGUGAUAAGAGUGUCUUCUCAUCUCUCAGUCCUUUUGAUGGAGGUACUGUGACUUUUGGAGGUCACAAGCCUCAAGUUGUUGGAAAAGGUACUGUUUGUAUCCCUAGAUUACCCGAGCUUAAGAAUGUUAGAUGUGUUGAGGGCCUUACAUCCAAUCUCAUUAGUGUGAGUCAGCUGUGUGAUGAUGGAGUAAUAGAAGUUAGAUUCUCCAAGCAUGGGUGCAAAAUCAUUGGAAAAGGUGGCAAUGAGAUUGUGAGCGUGGCUAGGUCUAGGGACAAUUGCUAUUGCAUUGAUGGUGUCAAUGAUGCAAAGAAGUAGUUUGCAAUAAGGUUGUGAAUGAAACAAGUGUCUUGUGGCAUCAAAGGCUUGGACAUGUGAACUUUAGAGACUAGCAUAAAUUGUCCAAGAAAGAGUUAGUGAGUGGUUUACCAAAACUUGACAAAUCUGAUCAACAUGUUUGUGAAGGAUGUCAAUUGGGGAAGCAAGUUAGAGUGUCACACAAGAAGGUCAAACACAUUCAAACACAAGUAAGCCUUGAACUUGUUCACAUGGACCUUGUUGGUCCUAUUCAAACCUUGUCCCUUGGUGGAAAGAAAUAUAUUCUUGUCAUGGUUGAUGAUUUCUCUAGGUUCACUUGGGUCUCAUUCUUACGUGAGAAAUCUGAAACUUUUCUAAGGUUUAAGUCUAUUUGUCAUCUUUUGCAAAAAGAAAAGAUGACUAGUCAUCUGCCCCUUGUUAGAAUUAGAACCGAUCAUGGUUCUGAGUUUGAGAAUUCUCAGUUUCUGAAAUUUUGUGAAGAAAUGGGAAUUAAGCAUGAGUUCUCUGCACCUAUUACACCUCAACAAAAUGGUGUUGUGGAGAGAAAGAAUAGAGUUCUUGUUGAGAUGGCUCGGGUGAUGCUCAAUAGCAAAAAUCUUGCUAAACAUUUUUGGGCUGAAGCUGUAAGUACAGCUUGUUAUAUCUCAAACAGGGUAUUUUUGAGGUCUGGUACCAAACAAACAACCUAUGAGAUUUGGAAAGGAAAGAAGCCUAAUGUGUCAUAUUUUAGAGUCUUUGGUAGCACAUGCUAUAUUUUGAAAGAUAGGGAGCAUCUUGCUAAGUUUGAUUCUAAGUGUGAUAAGGGAAUAUUUCUAGGGUAUUCCACUUCAAGCCGAGCCUAUAGAGUGUACAACUGUACGACCAGAACCAUCAUUGAGUCCAUAAAUGUCAAAAUUGAUGAUUUUGCUGCCUCUACUGAGAUGGCAUUAGAUGUGGAUGGUCUCUUUUCUCCUCCUCUCGUGCAAGAAUCUCCAGGUCUGGAUCUUGUAGUUGACCUGUCAACUUUCGAAAAUUCUGUCCCAGUUGACCUGUCAACUCCUUCAACCUCUAGUUCCAUCUCAUCUGUCCAAGUUGUCAGCUCCCAUGCUGAUCAUAACCCUCUCACUCAAACUGAGAGUGUCAUUAUUGGUCCUCUUAAUCAGGGAGUGAGAACUAGGAAACAAUUAGCUCAAGAAAUUAGUCAUGUGUGUUAGGUCUCAAAAGAAGAACCUAAGAAUGUGAAAGAGGCGUUGAACCAUGGUGAAUGGUUUCUUGCAAUGCAAGAGGAGCUGGAUCAGUUUGUUAGAAAUAAUGUUUGGUACCUUGUUCCCAGACCUACCAAUACAAAUGUUAUAGGUACUAAGUGGAUCUUCAAGAACAAAACUGAUGAGCAAGGUAAUGUUGUUAGAAACAAAGCUAGAUUAGUUGCUCAAGGUUACACUCAAAUGGAAGGUAUUGACUUUGAUGAAACUUUUGCCCCUGUUGCAAGACUAGAAUCAGUUAGAUUACUUCUUGCUAUUGCUUGUCACUUAAAAUUCAAACUUUAUCAAAUGGAUGUCAAAACUGCUUUUUUGAAUGGUAUUUUAAAUGAAGAGGUCUAUGUUGAACAACCAAAGGGUUUUGAAGAUCCACAUCAUCCAAAUGAUGUGUUUCGGUUAAAAAAGGCACUCUAUGGUUUGAAACAAGCUCCUAGAGCAUGGUAUGAGAGGUUAUCUUCUCAUCUUCUAAGAAAUGACUAUGUUAGAGGGUCAGUUGACAAAACUUUGUUUGUAAAAAGGUUCAAAAAUGAUGUCUUGAUUGCUCAAGUGUAUGUUGAUGAUAUUGUGGUUGGUUCUACCUCUGAAUUGCAUGUUCAAGAGUUUAUUCAUGUCAUGACUAGUGAAUUUGAGAUGAGUCUUGUAGGUGAGCUUAACUAUUUCUUAGGUCUUCAAAUCAAACAAAGCCAUGAUGGGAUCUUUGUAUCUCAAUCAAAAUAUGCAAAAAAUCUUGUGCAAAAGUUUGGUUUAGAGGAUGCAAAAUCUGCAAGAACUCCAAUGAGCACUAGUGCUAAAAUUCAUAGAGACUUGCAUGGCAAAAGUGUGGAUCAAACUCUCUAUAGAAGUAUGAUAGGAAGUCUUCUCUACUUGACUGCUAGUAGACCAGAUAUUUCUUAUAGUGUUGGAGUGUGUGCUCGUUUUCAAAGUGACCCAAAAGAGUCUCACUUGUUUGCAGUUAAAAGAAUCAUAAAAUAUGUGAGUGGGACUGUUGAGUUUGGGUUGUGGUAUACCUAUGACACCUAUGUCAGUCUGGUUGGGUAUAGUGAUGCCGAUUGGGCAGGUUGUAGUGAUGAUAGGAAAAGCACUUAUGGGGGGGUCUUUUAUGUAGGCAACAACCUUGUUGCUUGGCAUAGCAAAAAACAGAAUUCUGUCUCCUUAUCCACUGCUGAAGCAGAGUAUGUUGCAACUGGGAGUUGCUGCACUCAACUCCUUUGGAUGAGACAAAUGUUGGAAGACUAUGGUCUUGCUCAAUCAUGCUUUCUCAUCUAUUGUGACAACAUGAGUGCCAUAGACAUUUCUAAAAAUCCUGUUCAACACUCUAGGACUAAGCAUAUUGACAUUAGGCAUCAUUUUAUUAGAGAUCUUGUGGAAGACAAAAUUCUAUCUUUGGAAUUUGUUCCCUCUGAGAAACAGCUAGUAGAUAUACUCACCAAGGCCUUGGACUUUCAGAAACAUGUCACACUUCGGCAGUCCAUUGGCCUUUGCUCAAUUGAUUGAUUAGCUUGUCUGUUCCUUAUCUUCAGCACAUUGCAGAACUGUUGACUAGUCAUCUUCGUUUUAGUUGCCUAGUCAAAUAUUUUUUUUGGUGUGCAAAUGUCUAAAACAUAUGUUUCUUCUAAUCUCUGGUGGUAUGAAGUUUGAAUCAUUUUAUGCCUUGCCUGAUUUGUGCAUAAUUCCCCCCUUCUUGUUUGGAGCCAUUAGAUGAAAUCUUUUGGUGUUCUUUCGUCCUCUUGUUGAGACAAGUGUUGUGAUCCAUUGUGGACAAUCAUUGUUAUAAUCUCCUAUCUUUUCUCACUCUCUUAGGCAAUUUGUUUUAAAAAAAAAAAAAAAGUGUGACCAAUGUAGUCACGACUCUAGGAAUGUAUAAGGUGUUAUGUUUGAAAAAUCUAGAGCAAGAGCCGCAAAAUUAGGCCACUCAAGCACUUAAGUCUGGGAUGUACAAAUAACAAGGAUAAUAAAUGGCCAUAUUGAGUGAUGAAAAUCAAAUGGGUUGAGUUUAUGCCUUGAGUUUGCCUUGAAGGUUUAUUAUAUACUUAUCUCUCCAAGAGGGGUAUUUCUUCAUCUCUUGUGUUCUUCUUUUGGCUCUGAACCUCCUCUGUCCAUUUUGCCUUAUCUCUGAGCAUGAAAUCUAAUUCAUAUUCUGUCUAUCAGAGUUAGUUGCACUUGUUUUUUUUAUGUUUGCACAUGUGGUUAUCCUCUCUCUCUCUUCCUUCCUGUGCUUGAAGAUUUGGACUAGGCUAUUGUAGCUAAUACAUCGUUGAUCACUUGAUAUUUGCUAGUUCAUGUUUGUUUGUUUUUUUUUAAAAACCCACAAUCUUGUCUUCCACAGGGUCGAUACUAACUUUGAUGCGUGUCAUAUUAUUGCCUUAGUUGACUAGUCAUCUAUGCUUAUGGUUGACUAGUCAUCCGGUUGUGUUAUAUUUGAUGCCCGUCAUGUUAUUGCCUUAGUUGACAAGUCAUCAUUUUUGUGGUUGACUAGUCAUCUAGUUCUGCCUGUUUUUGUUAUUGCCUUGGUUGACUAGUCAUCAUGCUCAUUGUGGUUGACUAGUCAUCAGGUUUUUCUCUUGAACGAUACGUCUUUUUCUUUAGCGGUUAUUCUGAUUUUUAUUUUCAUUUUUUUCUCCUCUUCUUUGUGUUUUGGGCGGUUCUUUUUCAUUGGGGUCAGUUUUUGCAUUUUUUUUUUCUCUCUUUCCUUUUUUAGGUCUAUUUCCCUCUCCUUCGUCAGAGUCUUCUUUCACUCUCGUUCUCUCUCUGUUCUCUUCAGACACAGACCCAGGCCCCCAGCUUCCCUUUCUCCCUCUGUGUUAGUCUCUUCGCCCCUUCUUCCCUCUGUCUUUCUCUUCCAAUUUCUUCCCACUGCCACCAUGUCGUCCUCCGCGCCCUUCCUCGCUUACCAGUGCCGCUCCAAAUCCAAAUCCAAUGACAAAGUGGAUUUUAUACCCUCCAUUCCUAGGGCUCCUAGGACUCGCUCUUCUCACUCUGUUCCCGCUGGAGACUCCUCCCCGUUUGUGUCUCCUGAGGCAGUCUCGUUCUUCGAUGGUGUUGUCUUUAAAAGGAAGUUUGUGCCUGAGAGAGCUUACCAAAUUGAUGCUCUCCCCUUAGCGGCCCAGGGUUCUGCAACUCAGAUUUUUGAGCACUACCAUCUCCAUUCUCUCAACACUUUGUCUGGUAAGUUCAAUGCUUCUGUCGUUAAAGAGUUUUACUCGAAUUUUCCUGCUGAUCCUAAGGGGUCUAAUUAUCAGUGUGUUGUUCGUUCUGUGCCCAUUACUCUGAGACCCUCUGUCAUUAAUAGGGUUUUAGGUUUUCGGUCUUGCCCUGGUUUUGAUUCUGAUCAGUUUGCCCUUGCCUCUUCUCAAUACACUGUUGAUCUGUUUAAAACCAUGGCCUAUACUGAUCAAACAAUGCCCUUGACUUCUAAAGGUUUUCCUAUCAAGUCUUAUCUGCCACCAUUUUACAAAUUUCUAUGGGAUUUUAUCCGUCACAAUGUUCUCCCAACUGGAAAUAAUUCAAACCCCACUCUGGCUGGCUGUCAACUCAUGAUUUCAAUGGUGAAUCAUGAUAAAAUUCCCUUUGGGGAUAUUCUUUAUCGUGCAAUUCUUGGCAAGACCAUAGGUCAUGGUACAAAACACAAGGGGACUCUUGUCUUCCCCUGUCUUAUCCAGCGUCUUUGUGAGAGAAACCAGGUGGUUUUUCUUGACUCUGAUCAGUGGAAUCCUCUCAUUGCUCAGUUUGGCAAGGCAUCUGUUGCCCUUAGCCACAAAGUUUCAAAAACCUUUCUCACCUCUGUGUCAUCUACUUCUGAAAAUGCCUAUCUUAGAUCUCAGCUUGCUGCCAAGGAGAAACAUAUUCAAUAUCUGUUAAGCCUCAUUCCAUCCUCUUCAGUUCCUGCUGCUGCUGCUGCUGAAGUACAUCCUCAACUGACUCCUGCCACGGAGGUCUCAGAUGAUUCUAUAGAUUCUGAUGAGUCUGCUGAUUCGCUUGUUUUUUAGCUACAGUGAUCUUGUUGGCAGUGUCCUAGAUAGGGGGAGUAUUUUUGGACAUGUAUAUGUUUGUAAUCCCCUUGUGGAAAUUUGUUUUUUGCUUGGGUAGUCUGUGCAUCUUGAUAGGAGGAGUUGUGUUGUAUUAUUUUGAACAAGUGAUUUUUGCUUAGUAAUCAACCUAUGUUAUGUGUUUUUCACUUUGUUCAAAUCUGAUUAUCUGCCUUGUGUUUCAUUCCCUUGUAUGCUGACUCUCUCUCCUUGCCUUUUUGUUGCACUUUCCUUAUCAACAAGGGGGAGAACACUCUCAACCCCCAUAUUGCAUAUUGUUUCAAAAUUCUGUGAUAUAAUAUGCCUAUUUUUGUGCCUGGAAGAUUGGUUGUUCUUGCAGGUACCCUCACUUCAUCAUCUCCUUAGGUUGGGUUUUGGGUUGAGUGUUGUUAGAGAGUGUGUUGUCAAGGAAAGCCAAAAAGGGGGAGAUUGUUAAUGUAUGCAUUUGUUUUUUUUUCUUUUGGCUUCCCUUGACAACUUUGUAAUAGGAUUUCUAUUGUUAUUUAUCAAGCUCAAGUUUUGAUUAAGAAUAGCUUCUCUAGGUGUUCUUAACUAACAACUAUCAUAUGGAGGUUCAUGCAAAUUGGCAAAGGUAAAUUGUGCGUUGCAUAACAUUGCAUCAUACUGUUUUCAUAAAAUGAUGACUAGUCAUCUGUUUCUUGGAUGACUAGUCAUCCUUGCUCUCCAGCUUGAUAACCAACUUUUUUGUCCUAUUCCUUUUUCUCUCUCUGCUGCCACAUGGCAUUCUGACCUAAGGGAAUAUUUUGGUCUGUAUAGGCCUUGCGAUUUCUGUUUUGGAAAGCUGUCUCUUUUGUGUGGAAUUUGGAGGAAAGAUUGUUUUUCGAUCUUUCCGUUCUUCCUCCUCAAGAGAGAACAAUAUUUCAUCUAUGAGUUUUUCCAAAUUGAUAUCUUUAUGAUAAAACUGCAUUUGAAAUAUGAAUAUGCAACUAGCUUCAUAAAAACAUUCUCUCAUUAAUAUCUAGAUCAAAUUCACUACUGAUUUCUUCAAGAGUAUGGUUUCUUGAAGAAAUUGGUCAUUCUCCUUUGAAUCCAAAGUUUGGUUUCUGUUUAAGUUAAGCUUGCAAGCUGGUGCCAUGAGAUGAAUGAGCUGAAGAAGAAGCUGCCAUUGCCAUGAAGAACUGGGCUUCAAGCUUUGCUAAGUUGGGGAAGAAGAUUGCACAAAGGAGGUAUUGCUCAUCUUCCUAAAUAGAUCUAGGUUUUGCUUGAGCUUGCUUGUGUUCCUUUGUAAGAAUCUUUUUCCACUUAGUGGAUUGCCUGGUCGGUUGAUGACCCCCAGUUUUUCCCAAUGGUGGGUUUCUGGGUGAACAAUUUCUGAUUGUAUCCUUGUAAUUUUUCUGGGUUUAUGUUCUUGGUGGUCGACUAGUCAUCGUAUAAAUUAUGGUUGACUAGUCAUCAUUAUCUGCUGUUUGAUGUUUGCUUGAUUAUGCUGUCUUCACACACUUUCACUAUAGUUGUUGCUAGCACAGGGGAUGCCUAGAUUGAUGGGUCCUUCUGAGUGCCUAGGUUGUCACUAGUAAUUCUCUAGGCCUGUAGGUACAUCAUGGUAUGCUCUGUGUAUGUUGUUGUUUGGUAUAAUUCAUAUCUGACAGUUGACUAGUCAUAAGUGUGAUUGGCCAAGGUCUAGAGUGUGUGAAGUUUGUUGCAUCUUUUGGCUGAAUAUCUUUUAAGUUUACCCAUCGUCACCUAAGUACCGUUUUCAAUCUCUUUUGAGAGUUUGAUUUAGGGAUUUUGAUCGUCUCAUAUCUGAAAAUUUUGACUAUUACUGUUUUUUUUCUUCAUUAAGAACUUUUAUCGUUUUAAUAGAGAGAGAAUACAAAGUGGAAAUUUGAUGCCACAACACUUGUUGAUUAUCUCGUGAAGAACGCAAGUUCCACUGAUCAACCUUCACUUUUACCAAUUAGAUGAGCUUAGAACUUUUUUAAUUUGAAUCAACAUUCAUGAUUAAAAAUGAUGUUCUAUGACUGGCAGCUAUCCUUUUGGAACUAUUGAAAUUCUUUAGAUCAUUGAAAGUAGACAAAUGGCUUAAUUUUGAUUAAGAUUUUUAUGCUUGAAAACUUAUAGAUGGUAUUCUUACAAUGUGAAUAGGAAUAUCAAAACAUUAGAGUUGAACAAUGUCCAAGAUGGCACCUGUCAUGGUCAGGGUUAUACAAUAUACAUAGGUAGCCUUGGGGUGAAAGUCAUUCUUUGAGCUACGGAUUGUUGUGAAUCAUGAGCUUAAUAAAUUGGGCAUUUACCAUUCCAGAAAUUGGCUACAGCUAUGAUUGGAAGUUGACUUGAAAUGUAAUUAAUUUUCCCGAAGAUAUGGGACUGUGGGUGCUCCAAUAUUUUGAUGAUACCAUAUCUGUAUUAAGAUAGGAGAAAUUGCUUUGACAUAAAAGAAAAAACUACUGAAGAUGAAUUGAUGAUUGCAUAUGCAUGUGCGGGAAGAAGGGGAAACUAAAGAGACUCUUCACGGUUUGGGCCUUUAGUUUUUGGUGAAAUUCUUUAUUUAUUACACCUUAAUAAAUAUUUGAUAUUAAAAAGGCAGCUGGGAUUACGUCUCCAAGAAAAACAGGGAGGAGAGAGAAAAUCAUUUCUUUUAUUUUUAUGAGAGAGAAAAAAAAAUUAAUGAUUGUCUAUUUAAAAAAUUAAAACUACUUACCAUGUGAGGUUUAAUCUCAACCAUUGAAAGUGGAGUAAUCUAAUGGCCCAAAAAUUAUGUCAAAAAUAUAGUGUCACGGAUCCGCCCCAUAUAUAUAAUAUAAUAUAAUAUAAAGCAAAAAGAAUUUAAAAGAUAAAAACUUUUGGCCUUUUACAGGCUUGGGCAUGCCAACACGCAAGUUAUGCUCGACAAAAUUUGAAAAACACACAUGCCAACCACUCGAGCUCUUUGUCUGUCGUGUCUCCAUCAAUCCCUCUGUCUCUUCUCCAUCAAUCCCUCUGUCUCUCUCAGCAAUAGGUACAUAGAUGAAGGAGGGACAUUAAAACCCCAAUGGACAGAUGUAUGAUAAUAAUUAUCAAAUAAACGUGUAGAGAAUAUGACUAGUCAAAGACCCUUGAAUAUAUAAGCAUAACACAGAUGCACGACAUAUCAAACAUUUAAAUUCUUGCAAGCCUAGAAGAAAACUACGUGAUAACCUAGGCACUCAGAAAGACCUAUCAAUCUAGACAUCCCCUGUGCUAGCAACAACUAGAGUGACAAGUGUGUGAACAUUCAUCAACAUUUCAGAUAUAACACAAACAAUAUGACUAGGCAUAUAAAUCAGAGAAUCACACUAGAAAUGUUUACGCAGAAACCCACCAUUGGGAAAAACUAGGGGUCAUCACUCCGACCAGGCAAUCCACUAAGUUAAGAAGGUUCUUAUAAAAAAAGUAAUCACAAGCUCAAGCAAUCCUAGGUCUAUUUAAGAAAUGAGCACUACCUCUAUUUUCAACCUUCUUCUCCAAACUUAGUUGAGCUAGUAGCUUGUCCUUCAUGGAAAUAACAGCUAGUUCAUCAACUCCUUCACCCCCUGGCACCACAACUCAGCUACGGAUUGACAGAUCGAAAUUGGAGGAUAGCUGGGCGGUAGUAUGGGGCUAAAUCUUCUUUCUAUUACUUGCACAUGACUCAAUUAAAAGUAAGUCAGGCUACUAGGAAGAGGACGUAUUGAGAAUACAUGCUAUGCAAUGAGAGCCCCAAUUUAAGCACGAUCAAAAUUGGAGGGCGAAAAUGUGAUUGAGGUAUUAUUUAAGGACAAUCACCACAACUAAGCAGAAGUUGAGGUUUCACACAUGGAUAAACGGGCUCUGAUACUAUAAAGGAAGUUGAGGUUCACUCCAAAACCAAUUCGCAAAAGAGAGAGUAGCUCAACUCUUCAUAAGCCCUUACUAAGUUCAUUGACUUUCCAAUGUCUAACAUUUUCAUCUUCACAUUGUCAUACUUUGGCCCUUAGAGAUUGACACCUUAUCCGAAUUUUUAUAAGGUAUCUAAAAAGUAAUCCCUUUUUCUUUUUUGAUUUCAUCAAUAAUAGUAAGCGAAUAAAUACUAUAGCCACUCUUACAGACCUAAAACAUUAAAUAUUUGAAGCACAUGUAACAACAGAGCGCAGCCACCUCUAACUUCUUAAGCAGUGCGUUCAACAUCUCACUCUUUGCGAAAAAAAUUUAAAGAUUGAUGCAAAUUUAACCCCCGCUCUAGGUCUUGGUGUUCGAAAACCAUACAAAGAAUCGGAACAUACUCUCUUUCUCCCCCCUCUUUAGGUUUCAAGUCAAGCCAAGAUGCAAUAAAAGUGCUGUCCUGUCAAUGUGAUCACAAAGCGGAAUCCACCUUCUCUCUUUAUUGGGCUUGGGGUUCGGUGAAUAGGUGGGCAGUAGGCGGGGUGGGUGUGUCUGGCUGUGGGAUUUAAAGCUACUUUCUUUUCCACUUCUAUUACUUGCAGAUUAGACUCUCUUUUUUGGCCACUUGCACAUUAUUCAAUAGUGAAAGUAGUUCAAGUCACUUAACAGGUGAGAGGACGUGUUGAGAAUAAAUAUUAUGCCACGUCCGUUUUUGAGUGCAUUUUUCUGACCACCCUUAAGCCUCACCACUCCUUUCAAAGUUUGGCAAAUGUAAAUGGGUUAAUUUCAGUUUGGUAUUCCGUAGUUGUACUCUUAAAGUACUCCGUAGUUGUAUCCUAUGGGAUAUCAAACUGAAAUGAAUCCUAUGUAAAUUAAAGUAACCAUGGUUAAAAGUUUGCAGGUAAUAUGUUUUUCAUGCCACAGUUAUAUGAGAGAAAUUGAUGUAUUCAUUAAAAAUUAUUACUUCUAUCAAUUUUUUCCUUCCUUGCAACGUUUGUUUUUUUGCAAAUGUGAGUUGGGUUAGUUGGCCAAGGUAGUGUGCCCACAUUAUGGCACUCGAGAUCGAUUUUCCUCUCCUUAGAUUAGAGUGCCCAUCUUGUUGCACCUGAGUUCGAACUAUGCUGAUGGGAAUUUGAACUGGAGUGGAAUGACAUAAUUACAUGGUAUAACAAAAUAACAUUGAAUAAUGCCAAGACCAUGCUCAUAAUCCUGAGAGUUAAAUAUAAGGACGACGUCGUAUUUUAUUGUAUAUGAAAUCUUUAUAGAAGGUGCACUAUAACUAAUGGCUGUUGGACAAAGAACAAAAAAACAUGGGUGUCGAAUUCAGAAAAAACUUAAUACCUUGAUGUAUAUAUCCUUUUAGUUCACAAUCUUAGAUCUUUCUUUAGACUAUUGCGUACUUGUGUUAAUUUACAAGUUCAUUUACAAAGAUGAUUACCAAUUUCCUCACACUUAGAAGAAGAAUAAUAAUAUAUAACAAUACUUGAUUAUUCCCUAAAGAAUCUAACAUCGAACCAGCAACUUCCCUUCUUCUUCUUUUUCUUCCUUUAUCAUUAUUUUCAACAAUCUCUUCUUGACUAGGAUCCAACUGGGCAAGUUACCAAAUCAAGCUCAAAAUCGAAUUUAUUUUAUUUUUUGAUUCCUAAAAUACCGUCAACUAAGCCAUUAUUGCAUUUUGUAUAUUAAUGUAGACCAAUAUAGAAACAAUUUUUAUUUGGAUUGUAACUAAUGAGACACAUUGAAUUUGAAAAGAUCUCCAAAUGGAUGUUGGAAUUGAUUCAGAAUUUUUUUUUAAUUUAACAAUAAAUUCAUAUGUAACAUACCUAAUCGGUUUAUUUAAUAUAAAAAAUUAUUUAUUUAUUUAUUUACGAAGUAUAGGUGAUUAAUUAUCUAUUAUAUUAUUAUUUUAUAUAUAUAAUAGCGUACAUAAAAUUUUAUGUUGGAAAAAUAACAUACCUAUUACUUCAGUUACGAAAAAUAAUGUUUGGGGCUAAAUUCCAAUAACAAUUUUUAAUUGGAUGGUAUCUAGGAAAUAGAAAUUGUAGGGGCCUAUAUUAAACUAGUUAUUAUAUCAUCGUUCUUGAUCAUAAUACGUUAUGAUAUACUCAAUUAGAACAUGAGUAUUUCAACUCAAAAUUAAUUGACAACAAGUGAGAUUCACACUCUCAACAAUCUUAGGUCUAUUUUGCAUGGAAGAUCAAUUAACAAUGAGAGAGAAAUAGUUUCUUUUUACACCUUUUUUUUUUUUUUUUUUUUGAGAGAGAGAGAGAGAGAGAGAGAAAUAGUUUCUAAGGAACCAAUGAAGAAGAGUUCGCCCAUAAAGAUGAGCAAGAGUUUCCAUGAGAGAGAAAUUUGUUAUGAGCAAUUAACGCCAAUUGUUGGAGAUAGGACAGAAAACAUUAAUGGAGAAGGGUGCAAUUAGAUUAUCUUUCCAAAACCAGAGGUUGGGGAACGGCAGCAAAACCAGACUCUGAAGGUAGUCCCAAUGAAAUCUUUGGAUUGCUUUUCUAUACAGUAGUAUAGAAAAAAGGAAAAAAAGAAGGCCCCAACUUUACUCUGUCCGUCCCCGUACCUUAGCUUUAAAGCCCGCUUGGCUUUACAAAAAAGAAAGCAAAAAAGAAAUAAAAAUGCUUUUGAAUUAUUAUUUUCACGUGUAGAAGUUACGUACUCCCUCUAUAUAAACCCCAUGCAAUAUAGCAGGAAGAGCACACCUAGCUCGAUCAUCAAAAACCCUCCACUCAGUUAUGGCAUUGCAAUUCCGCUCUUUGCUCUUGUGUGUGGUGCUGCUGCUCCUUUGCUUUGCAUUGGCAAAUACCAAUGCUGCCAGGACAGAUCCACCCGUUGUUUGUGCAACUCUCAACAGGACUCAUUUCGAUACUCUUUUUCCAGGAUUCACAUUUGGCGCAGCUACAGCAGCUUACCAAGUCAGUGCAUUCUGGGAGCUUAAUUAAUAUUACUCAUGAAUUUGUUUUAAUUUUUUGUUUCAUAUAGUUACUUUACUUAGCAUGUGUCAUUUAUGAAUAUUGGCAUCUUCAUUCUGUAAAUCGUGUUUUAUAUGUAUAUCUGUAUGUGCAUUUCAGUUAGAAGGUGCUGCAAACAUAGACGGUAGAGGACCAAGCGUAUGGGAUAACUUCACCCAUGAGCAUCCAGGUCUGUUGAAUCAAACAAUCAAUUAGUUAACAAAUCUUCUAUUUUCUAUUUUUUUAGGUGACUAAAUUGAUGAUCAGUUACUUCAUUUCAAAAGCUAUAAAAAAUGUAUAAACAAGCCAAUGCUUCAUGGAAAUUAGUUAUUCUUCACUUACAAAGUGCUCAAUGGGAACUGCGCAGAAACCAUGACCUUACCCAGCAAAGAUCUGACAACUCUCCUAGAUCAAAGAAGAUAGUUAGAAAGUUGUAAAAAAUUGAAUAAGGGUAAUCAUGGAAAAUAAAACUCAAAUGUUUUAAUGUAUUAAUGUAUCAUUCAAAAAUGUAAUUAAGAGGAAUAAUACAUCGCACAAGAGAAGAAGUGAGAAGUUCCAACCAAGAUGGUUAGGGUGAAGGUUGCGAGCAUUCCCCUAUUUAAAUAUCUAGAUAGCUAAAUUUCUUUGUAUCUUUAUUUAUAACUAAAAUUACAUUUGAUUAAUUGCAGAAAAGAUAACUGAUGGUAGCAAUGGAGAUGUUGCUAUUGAUCAAUAUCACCGUUAUAAGGUUUGAAAAUCACAUAAUUGUAUUAUGUAGACCUUCUAUAUUUGAAUUUGAACACACGACAUUAAGGAUGAUAUCCUUAAUUUUUAGCUUCUUUUUGUUAUUUUUAUAAUUAUGUACAUCUUUUGUGUCAUUAUAGGAAGAUGUGGCAAUUAUGAAGGAUAUGGGGUUGGAUGCUUAUAGGUUCUCUAUCUCAUGGUCCAGAUUGUUACCAAGUAAGUUGAUCAUCCGCAUCCACAUAUAUUAUUGCGACCAAUCGCUUUAAUGUUUAACAUCUUUUAUUCAAUUUAAUUCCUAUUUCAUGAUAGGUAUUGGCUUAUAUUUUUCUUGUUUUGUUUUAAUUAUUAUUAGAUGGAAAACUAAGUGGUGGAAUUAACAAGAAGGGAAUCGAAUACUACAAUAAUCUCACCAAUGAACUCCUACGCAAUGGUGAUACAGCUCCCAAUCUCAUAAAAUCCUCCUAAUAUAACAACAGUACCUGCAGUUGUUUAAUCAAACUUCUAAUUUUCUUUUACUGGUCAUGCUACAUAUAGGUAUAGAGCCAUUAGUGACACUCUUCCACUGGGAUGUUCCCCAAGCCUUAGUAGACGAAUAUGGUGGUUUGUUAAGCCCUCGUAUUGUGUAAGUGGACAAAUUCCAUCCUUUGUAUAAUAUUGAUCACUUAAUUAUAUAAAUACUAUUAUAUACAAUAAAUACAUAUUUCAAUGUGUACACGCAGCGAUGACUUUAAAGCAUACGCAGACCUUUGUUAUAAGGAAUUUGGUGAUCGAGUAAAGCAUUGGACCACACUUAAUGAGCCAUAUACCAUUAGUAACCAUGGUUACACAAUCGGGAUCCAUGCACCAGGACGAUGCUCUGAUUGGUACAACCAAAAUUGCCUUGGUGGAGAUUCGGGUAUUGAACCAUAUUUGGUGACACACUAUCUACUCCUUGCUCAUGCAGCUGCUGUAAAAUUGUACAGAGAAAAAUAUCAGGUACUUCCGUCAGUCUUUUUUCUUUUUAUUUUAGAAAUUGAGGUCCAACGAGUAACUAGUAUUAUUAUAUAACAACAUAAGUGGGAAUACUUUUUAUUUUGAGAAAAACGACGGUUGUAAUAAUAUAAUUUUUUUUUUCUUUGCUUUAAAUCAACAUAUUUUUUAUUUUUUAUUUAUCUCUCUAGAGCAGGCAUAUCAAAAUGGUGUCAUAGGAAUAACUGUUGUAUCACAUUGGUUUGAGCCCGCUUCAGAGUCACAACAAGAUAAAGACGCUGCAUUUCAAGCUUUGGAUUUUAUGUAUGGAUGGUAAGUGUAUUAUUAAUUUAUAUAUCAACUCAUUUAAAUGCUUUAUUUUUGAAUUAUAACUUCAGUUAGGUAGCCUGUGGUAGUUUAUAUAAUGUUAUAAGCUCACGUUUGGAAUUUUCAUAGGUUUAUGGACCCAUUGACAAGAGGUGACUACCCGCAGAUCAUGCGAUCCAUUCUUGGUGCACGGUUACCGAAUUUCACGGAAGAACAAUCCAAGUCACUGAGUGGGUCAUAUGACUAUAUUGGAAUAAACUACUACUCUGCUAGAUAUGCAAGCGCUUAUCCUAAGGAUUAUUCUGUAACUACACCUCCAAGCUACCUAACAGAUGUUCAUGUUAAUGUUACAAGUGAGUACAAAUUGAAAAUUUCAAGAAAUUAAUGUAGUUCUCCAAAUAAUUAGAUCCUGAUAUUCAUAUUCAUUUAUGUUGUAGCAGCUGAUCUUAAUGGGGUCCCCAUUGGUCCACGGGUACGCAAUAAAUUAUUAGCUUAAGUUAUUGGGAUUUUGAGAAUUAAUAGCUAUAUAUGCAUAUAUUUUGUUUUCCAUAUACACAUAAAGUGCUAAAAGUCUCACUGAUCUUCAAAUGGGAUUGCAGGCUGCUUCAGACUGGUUAUAUGUUUACCCAAAAGGACUUUACGAUCUUGUACUCUACACAAAGAAAAAGUAUAAUGAUCCGAUUAUGUACAUUACUGAGAAUGGUACGUAAUUAAUAUUUUUAAACAUUAAUUAAUUGCAUCAUCAAUGUUUCACAUUUAUGUAUAAUGGUGUAAAAUAAAGUGAAGUGUUGUAAACUCUAAACUUAAAACUAAAUGUACAUUUUUUCUUCGGUUAAACAAAUUGUAUGCAUUUGAUACUGCAUUAUAUUGCAGGCAUGGAUGAGUUCAAUAAUCCCAAAUUAUCACUCGAGCAAGCCCUUAAUGAUGCUAAUAGAAUUGAUUACUACUAUCGCCACCUCUGUUACCUCCAAGCAGCAAUGAAGUAAGUUUUUCUCAACAAAUUAAUUAAGGCUAUAUAUGUUUUGGCCUUCUUACAUUUCGGUUAUUUAAUCACUAUAUUGAACCAAUUAUGUUCUUCUUCUUUUUUGGGUGUUUGUAGGGAGGGUGCUAAUGUGCAAGGAUAUUUUGCAUGGUCUUUGCUAGACAACUUUGAAUGGAGCGAAGGAUAUACUGUUCGAUUUGGUAUCAACUAUAUUGAUUAUGACAAUGGACUGGAAAGACACUCAAAACUCUCGACGCACUGGUUCAAAAGUUUUCUCAAGAGAUCCUCAAUUAGUAAGAAGAAUAUCCAAAGAUGUGGGAACAGUAAUGGUAGGGCUACCAAAUUUGUGUAUCAAAUUUGAAUCCCAAGGAUGGAUAAAGUACAAUGGCUCUUCCAUGGUGGUUGUGUGAGCUAUUUUUCAUGUUUUAACUUUUUGUAUUACUUUUUCUGAGUCGGAAUAAGUUUCAACCACUCAUUACGAGUUAGUUGUCUUUCCUUGUGAGGGUUUAUUUUUAAUUUUUACUUUAUGUUGUUGACGUGCCUCGUUUAUCCAAGUUUGUUGACUUUAUGCGGUGGAGGUGCUUUGGCGGGUUGUGGAUAUGAUUGGAGGGAUAUCUUAUUGUCUAGAUGUUGUUGAUGUAUCCUUCAUGUAUUUGUAUUAGUCCUUGUGAUCAGUGCUCUUUACAAUUAAAUUAUAUAUGUAAUUUCUUCUAAAUAAAAACGUUAUAAAUAAAAAUAAAAACUAAAAUAAAUAAAUGUUGAGCCGUGACGGAAAUAUUUGCCACUUAUGGCAUAUAGUUUGUCUUAAGUUGAAAUUAACUUAGAACAAGAUACUAGUGUAUAAAUUCUUUAUAGAUCUAUUAAAAAUUCAAAAGAAAAUGCUCAAUCAGGUGCUUAUUUGAGAAAACGUCAAGUCGGCUAUCAGCACAAUACCUUUCUUCAAAAGAAAACUAAUGUUGCUUGUAUGAUUAAUUUCAUGUGUACAAAUUAUACAUAGACUUUAGCUUAUAUAUAUUUUAAUUUCAAUACAAUACUCCUUACGCCACAUAAACUUUAGCUUUCUUUAUAAACGAGAUGAUAAUUUAUUUUUUCAAAAGAAAUCCAUCCAUUGUGAUCGGCCACAAUGAGAGACUUUUUUUCAUCCUGCACAAUACCAUCCAUUUAUCAAACAAAACAAAAAAAUAAAUAAAAAUCCACCAGGCCCUUCCCAAAGCAAAAAGCUCAUAAGAGACAAAGCCCACUCUCUAUCCUUCUUCCCAAUUGUGGUAAAUCUUUGGUCACCACUUUAUGGUUUAGAGGUGAACCAAACCAAACUGCUUGGGCCUAGGGACAAAGGAACAGUAUAUGCUUAGUAGACUCUUUAAAUACGUUAGAAGAGAAAGUAAAUGAUAUUAUUCCGGCUGCGUAAUUUUGCCUCAGCCACCAUCUGAGGGUUGGCCUGUGUUCAUGGCUAUUCCUGAUGACUGCAAUUUUGGACUUCUGAUGACAAUUGUUUGCAGCGUGGACGGUCUUUUUUUUUAUUUCUCUAUGUAACAAGAUUUUGGAGAUUUUGGGUAUAUAAUUCGGUGUAUGGUUUGCAAUAUUCAAAACCACUUGUUCAAUCGAAUCAGACAGGUGGUAUUAUAAAAUAUAUAUAUAUAUAUAUAAUAUAUGUAGUACAAAUAAUUUAAAAGAUAAAAACUUUUGGCUUUUGUCGGGCUUGGGCAUUUCAACACGCAAGUUAUGCUCGACAAAAUUUGAAAAACACACAUGCCAACCACGCGAGCUCUUUGUCUGUCUUGUCUUCAUCAGUCCCUCUCUUUCUCUAUCUCUCUCUCUCUGCAAUUGGUACAUAGGUGAAGGAGGUAAAUUAAAAUCCCAAUGGACAGAUGUAUGACAAUAAUUAUCAAAUAAACGUGGAGACAAUAUGACUAGUCAAUAACUAGUCAUAGACCCUUGAACAUAUAAGCAUAACACAGAUGCACAACAUAUCAAAUAUUUAAAUUCCUGCAAGCCUAGAAGAUAACUACGUGACAACCUAGGCACUCAGAAAGACCUAUCAUCUAGGCAUCCCCUGUGCUAGCAACAAUUAGAGUGAUAAGUAUGUGAACAUUCAUCAACAUUUCAGAUAUAACGCAAACAGUAUGACUACGCAUAUAAAUCAGAGAAUCACACCUGAAAUGUUUAUGUAGAAACCCACAAUUAGGAAAAACUAGGGGUCAUCACUCCGACCAGACAAUCCACUAAGUUAAGAAGGUUCUUAUAGAAAAAGUAAUCACAAGCUCAAGUAAUCCUAGGUCUAUUUAGGAAAUGAGCACUACCUCCAUUUUCAACCUUCUUCUCCAAACUUAGUUGAGCUAGUAGCUUGUCCUUCAUGGAAAUAACAGCUAGUUCAUCAACUCCUUCACCCCAUGGCACCGCAACUCAGCUCCGGAUUGACAAAUCGAAAUUGGAGGAUAGCUGGGUAGGUGUAGAGCAGGAUAGCUGGGCGGUAGUAUGGGGCUAAAUCUUCUUUCUAUUACUUGCAGAUGACUCAAUUGAAAGUAAGUCAGGCUACUGGGAAGAGGACGUAUUGAGAAUACAUGCUAUGCAAUGAGAGUCCCAAUUUAAGCACGAUUGAAAUUGGAGGACGAAAAUGUGAUUGAGGUAUUAUUUAAGGACAAUCACCACAACUGAGCAAAAGUUGAGGUUUCACACAUGGACAAACGCGCUCUGAUACUAUACGGGAAGUUGAGGUUCACCGCAAACCAAUUCGCAAAAGAGAGAGUAGCUCAACUCUUCAUAAGCCCUUACUAAGUUCAUUAACUUUCCAAUGUAUAACAUUUUCAUCUUCACAUUGUCAUACUUUGGCCCUUAGUGAUUGACACCUUACCCGAAUUUUGAUAAGGUAUCUACAAAGUAAUCCCUUUUUCCUUUUUGAUUUCAUCAAUAAUAGUAAGCGAAUAAAUACUAUAGCCACUCUUACAGACCUAAAACAUUAAAUAUUUGAAGCACAUGUAACAACAGAGCGCAGCCACCUCUAACUUCUUAAGCAGUGCGUUCAACAUCUUAGUCUUUGCGAAAAAAAUUUAAGAUUGAUGCAAAUUUAACCCCCGCUCUAGGUCUUGGUGUUCGAAAACCAUACAAAGAAUCGGAACAUACUCUCUUUCUCCCCCCUCUUUAGGUUUCAAGUCAAGCAAAGAUGCAAUAAAAGUGCUGUGAAUGUGAUCACAAAGCGGAAUCCACCUUCUCUCUUUAUUGGGCUUGGGGUUGGGUGAAUAGGUGGGGCAGUAGGCGGGUGUGGGUGUGUCUGGCCUUGGGGUUUAAAGCUACUUUCUUUUCCACUUCUAUUACUUGCAGAUUAGACUCUCUUUUUUGGCCCCUUGCACAUUAUUCAAUAGUGGAAGUAGUGGACGUGUUGAGAGUAAAUAUUAUGCCACGUCCGUUUUUGAGUGCAUUUUUCUGACCACCCUUAAGCCUCACCAUCCCUUUCAAAGUUUAGCAUAUGUAAAUGGGUUAAUUUCAGCUUGAUAUUCCGUAGUUGUACUUUUAAGGUACUCUAUAGUUGUACUUUAUGGGAUAUCAAAUUGAAAUUAACCUUAUGUAAAUUAAAGUAACCAUGGUUAAAAGUUUGCAAGGAAUAUGUUUUUCAUGCCACAAUUAUAUGAGAGAAAUUGAUGUAUUCAUUAAAAUUAUUUCUACUAUCAAUUUUUUCUUUCCUUGCAACUUUUGUUUUUUUGCAAAUGUGAGUUGGGUUAGUUGGUCAAGGUAGUGUGCCCACAUUAUGGCACUCGAGAUCGAUUUCCUCCCCCUAAAUUAAAGUACCCAUCUUGUUGCACCUGAGUUCGAACUAUGCUAAUAGGGAUUUUGAACUGGAGUGGAAUGACAUAAUCACAUGGUAUAACAAAACAACGUAGACUAAUGCCAAGACCAUUCUCAUAAUCCUGAGAGUCAAAUAUAAGGACGACGACGUAUUUUAUUAUAUAUGAAAUCUUUAUAGAAGGUGCACUAUAACUAAUGGCUGUUGGACAAAGAACAAAAAAACAUGGGUGUCGAUUAAGAAAAAACUUAAUACCCUGAUGUAUAUAUCCUUUUAGUCUACAAUCUUAAAUCUUUCUUUAGACCAUUGCGUACUUGUGGUAAUUUACAAGUUCAUUUACAAAGAUAAUUACCAAAUUCCUCAUACUUAGAAGAAGAAUAAUAAUAUAUAACAAUACUUGAUUAUUCCCUAAAGAAUCGAACAAUACUGCCUAUUGACUUGCCAUUGCAUCAUGGCUGUUAUGUUGUCCACAAUAUCCUGGCUUCUCUGUGUUGUGGCCUCCUAUUAGAACACAGCCUCCUGCAUUUGAUUCAACCUCCUGGGGCCAGCCCUGGAGCGUCUACUUCCGGUACUGCCAUGGGUUGAUUGCCUAACAUCACUUUCUUUUGACUCCAGCCCUUCUUGGAGAGCUGCUUGAUCUCUUUCAAUUGUGCAGCGUGGGUUCUGGCUAGAACUUCCAAUAUUCAUAUACUUUAAAAAAUUUCUCUAGGAGUAUGUAUACUGAGAAGUCCCACCGGGCGUGCCAAAUUGUUCACCCGUUUUGUGUUUGCUCCUGUGAUGGAAGGGUAAAGUUCCCCAAUGCCUUAAAAACCAUUGACUGGUCAACGAGUCAACUUUCUUUAGUGUGCGAGCGUACCACUGCUAGUAAUAAAAAUUCUAACAGACUUCUUAAAAAUGGAUAACUUGCGCCCCAAGUUACUGAUUUCUAGACAAGCGAUUGUGAAUUUGGGUGAGGAAUAUCUCCCAAGUAAGUUCUUUUCUUGCCUCAGACUGGUGAUGACUUCACAAUUUUUCACAGUAUAAAACUGGUAAUUCUGGCCAGAAUAAAUGAUAAGAUAGUAAAGUGUUUUUAGGCAGAAGUGCCUUUUACAAAACUCAAAAGGGAAAAAUCAACUCUAGAAAGACAAAAGAAGGCUGGACUUCCAUUUCUGCCUGGAUAGAAACUUUUGAUCCGGGCUGGACUGGGUAAGCACGUACUGGAUUGAGCUGUCAACAACUUCAACUGCUGAGCUUCAGCUAUAAAUCGAUACCAACGUUCGAGUUUGACAGAGCUUUGAUCAAUUUUAAGCCUUGAAAGGCUUUUUCUUAUGUUUUUGCAGCUGAAAGUCCUCCUCCUCCUUCUUCUAGGUCGAAAAGACUUAGGAAAAGGACUGCAGUGGAAUAUGAGGAGACAGAAGAGCCUGCAGCUGUUCUUACCGAAACUUCUGGAAUUGAUGAAGAUCUGAGGGAAGCUUUUGAAGCUGUGGAGUAGGAGAAGGAAUAAGAAAAAGAAAAAGACGUUCCCACAAAAGAGAAAGAAAAGGAGUUUGAAGAAGAGGCUGUAUGAUUAUUUUACAUAUGUUCUUCUUCUAACUUCUGACUCCUGUCCAUCUGUAGGAGGAGAUUCCCGCUAAGGUAAUAGCAGAAAGCAUUGCCUUGGCCAAACAACAAGAAAAAGCUCAUAGGGCAGAACCCACAAGCUCAUAAUUGGCCCUAUUUGAUGAUGUGGAGGCAGAUCAUUCUGAUGUUGCCCCAGAGCUUGAAGGGGAAGCAAAACAACCUGUUGCUAUUCUUGAACCUGAGGUAACUUUUGUUUUGCUUUUGACUGCCUGGUUUUUGCAAUUCUGUUCUAUUUUGCUUCUAAUACCUUUUUCAUUUUCAGGUGGAAAAAGAUAGAACUGCUGGGGUUCUGAUCGUGGCGAUCAGUCCUCUUAAGCCUCCUAUUGUAGCUGUGAGUAUUUGCUUGUUCUUGAGCUUCCCUUUGAUUUUAGUUUUGCAUGAAACUGACUUGAGUUCCUUUUGCAGAUGCCUAUCCAUUUUAUUCCUAAUUCACCAGCCACUGCCUCAUUUGCUGAUCCAGAACUGGUAGAAUUUGAAGCCAUGGAUCUGGAUGCUCAGCUGGACAAGCUAGAAAAACUCAGCUCUCCUCCUAGCAAGGCUAAGUCCAAGGCAAUGGAUGAGGCAGUGGACAGAGUAAAAAUAUGGCAGUCAAACGAGCUGGACUUGGAUGAGAAUAGAGAAGCUGUUGACCAGCUCAUGAAGGAUCUGGAUCUGUUGCACAGGGAGAACAUGGCUCCCAGACUUGUCCUCGAGCUCAGCUUAGGCCCGGAAAAGAGAUGUGCUCAAUCUCCACACUCGUAUGAAGAUCUUAAGCCUUUCUUUAAUGCCUCUGAAUUAUGGAAGGCUACGCAUGAAGCCAACCUGGCUGAUUAUCAAAAUCAAAAAACAGAACUGGAUCAGAUGGUGGCAGGUUACAAGGAGGCCAAGACUGCUGCUGAUAGGCUGGAGAAACAUAUUGAAGAACUUCAAGCGCAGCUGGCUGGACUGAAAGAGAAGCAAAACAAGCUUGGGGCUGGACUGGGCACUUAGACUAUGGUCACUUUUCUUGUGCAGAACAUGGUUGCAGCUUCUAGGCCAGCAUUGUAGAUUGCAGAGGCCUCACUAUAUUUGGUGAAAGCAUAACUCUAAACAAAAGAACGCAGGGAACAAAACAGACUUAAAGAUAACACUUAAAAGCAUAACUUUGAACAAAAAUUCAAACAACAAUUUUAUCUUGGUCAUCCUCUAUUCCAGGAUCUGUUUGCACAGCCUGUGAAUCCCACAUAGUUGGGUAGAAUUUCUUCAGCCAUUUGCUAUUGAUUGGUACAGCAUAAAUAUCUCCAUCUCGAUCCUGUAAUCUGUAUAAUCCCAAUCCAAUGACUCGCUUGAUUAUGAAAGGAUCUUCCCAUGUAGGUGACCACUUUCCAUAACCAGCUAUGUGUGUUCCGAGGGGCAGAACUCCUUUCCAGACUAUUUCUCCGUAUUCAAAACUCUUGUUUUUAACUCUUUUAUUGUAGGCCCUUGAUACAGCCUGUUUCCCUGCUAAGAGUUUGUUGAGGUAUCAAUUCUGCUGGCAUCCAAACCUUCUAGUUCUAGCAGCAUUGCUUGAGAGUAGUCUUCUCAAAUCAGAUUUUGUUGCUAAACAAUUCUAAGAGAUUGGACUGCUAUUUCCAUAGGCAGAAUUGCAUCAUGAUCAUAAGUUAGAGCAUAUGGGGCCAUACCAGUCACCUCUCUCUUUGAAGUUCUAUAUGCCCAGGGAGUUUCUGAUAAUUUCUCAUGCCACUACUUUGGAUUUUUCUCAAGAAUUUUCGUGAUAAUGUUGAUGAUCACUUUGUUACUUGAUUCUGUCCAUUAGCCUGAGCAUAAUAAGAGGUAGAUUGAAGUAGUUUGAACUUGAAUGCUUCUGCAAUAUCUAGCAUUUCUCCAUAUAUGAAAGAAGAUCCCCUAUUAGUUGUGAUUGACUCUCGAAUACCAAACCUUUGUAUAAUAUGCUAUUCUAUGAAGGUGAUGAUCUCUUGAGAUGUAGUCGAUUUAACAGGUUUGGCUUCCACCCACUUGGUGAAAUAGUCUGUAGCCACAAUGAUAACACAAUGUUGUUUGCUACUGGCUAGACAGAUUUUGCCAAUGAGAUCCAUUGCCCAUCCUCUGAAUGCCCAUGACUUAACCACUGGAUUCAUGGGAGCUGAAGGAGCAUGCUAGAUUGGACCAUGCCUCUGACAAGCCUCACAUCCCUUGGAAUACUCAAUGCAGUCUUUCAUCAUGGAUGGCCAGAAGUAGCCAUACCUUCUAAUUAACCAGCACAUCUUCCUUCCACCUUGAUGAGCUCCACAGAUUCCUUCAUGGGUUUCUCCCAAAUCUCCAUUUAAGAUUAGGUAGUUUAAGGCUAUGAUUAUGAUCCUUUUUUCAUAGGGAAGGGUUGGAUACUGCAGAUAAUUGAUUAUAGGCAGCCUCCAAUCUUCUUUAUUCAUUAUGGCAGUAUUGACAUCUAUUUCCAUUCCUCUGGUUAGGACAGAUGGUAGGCUUUUCUUUCCUAUCUUGAUGAUUCUUUGCACACAGUCUUCAGGCAUUUGUACCCCUGUUGCUAUUUGAGCCAUUUCAUUAGCUGCAAAGUUUUCUUCCCUUGGGAUAUAUUCCCAAGUAGCUUCCCUGAAUUCUACCAGAAGGUUUCUGGCUGCCACCAAAUAAACAGCUAGAGAAGGAUUUAGACACUUGUAUUCUCCAGCAAUCUGUUUUGACACCAGCAUAGAAUCUCCCAAAAUUUCCACAGAUUGGAUUCCUAAUUCUACCAACAUUUCAAGGCUAAUGAUUAAAGCUUCAUAUUCAACCUUGUUGUUAGUGCAUUGAAAAUCUAGCUGGAAAGAAUAACAGUGUCUGAUUCCCAGUGGAUCCUCCAAAACAAUCCCUGCCCCAGAGGCUACAUCAGUUUUUGAUCCAUCAAAGUACAGUUUCCAAGGUGUAAGGUGAACUGAAUAGAUGAGAUUGUUAAGGCAAGUAUGAGCUCUAGUCAAUAGAUCUGCAUUUGCUAUAUCCAAGGAAUCCAUGUUUUUAAUCUCUUCUCCUGGAUGAUCUGCUAGGAAAUCUGCUACAGCUUGUCCUUUGACAGCUUUCUGAGAAACAUAUCUGAAAGCAAAUUCUUUCAAAGCCAGAGUUCAUUUGCCAAUUCUGCCUCUCAACAUUGGCCUUGUCAACAUGUAUUUGAUUAGGCCUGUCUUGGCAAUGAUGUAGAUGGUGAAUGGCAGCAUGUAGUGUCUGAGUUUCACAGCAGUGAAGUAUAAGGCUAGACAAAGCCUUUCAAUUGCAGAAUACUUACUUUCUACUUCUGUCAAAGUUCUGCUUAGAUAAUAAACUGCCUGCUCCUUCCCUUCCUUGUUAUCCUGAACUAGCAGACUCUCAAUGGAUACUGGUGGAUUUGAGAGGUAGUGUUUGAUUUCCUCAAAAGCAUGCUGGUGCUGUUCCUCCCACUUAAAUGUCUGUUCCUGCUUUAACCUGAAUAAGGAGGAGAAAUGCUGGAUUUUUCUUACAAAAUUGGAUAUGAAUCUUUUUAGAAAGUUGAUCUUUCCUAGGAGACUCUGCAAUUCUUUCUUGUUUCGAGGUGACAAGGCGUCUAUGAUGGAUUUUGCCUUAUUUUUAUCAAUCUCUAUGCCUCUUUGGUGGACCAAGAAACCUAAGAAAUUUCAUGCUUGAACUCCAAAAACACAUUUCUUGGGAUUCAUUUUCAGCUUGUGUUGUCUCAUUAUCAGGAAUGCUCUUUUUAGAUUUGAUGCAUGAUCUCCUUUUUCUGGGGACUUAAUCACCACAUCAUCUACAUACACUUCUAGAGAAUGACCUAUCAUGUCAUGGAAAACAGAAUUCAUUGCUCUUUGAUAAGUGGCUCCUACAUUUCUAAAGCCAAAAGGUAUUACAGUGUAUUCAAAAGCACCUAUAUGUCCUAGACACAUGAAAGCUGUCUUAUGGAUGUCUUCCUCUGCCACCAUAAUCUGAUUAUAUCCUGCAUUGCCAUCCAUAAAAGAUAGCAUUUGGUUAUGAGCAGCUCCAUCCACUAGCAUAUCUGCCAUUGGCAUAGGAUAUUCAUAUUUGGGAGAUGCUUCAUUUAGAUUUCUAUAAUCCACACAGAUCUUAACUGCCCCUGCUUUUCUUUUCAAAAUUGGCACAAUAUUGGCUAGCCAAUCAGCAUAAAUGGCUAAUAUGAUGAAUCCUGCCUUGACCAGUCUUUCUAUUUCUUCUUUGACUUUCAGUUCUGUUUCCAUAGACAUUCUUCUUCUAGCCUGUUUGACUGGAAGGUAGCCUUCUUUGAUUGGGACCUUGUGUUCUACCAAUUUUCUGUCCAACCCAAGCAUAUCAUGAUAAUGCCAAGCAAAACAGUCUCUAAAAUCAUGCAAAAGUGCAAUGAUUUCACUCUUGAGUGGUUCUUUCAACAAUGCACUAAUGAAAGUGGGUCUUGGGUUCUCUUCUGUCCUUAAGUUUAUCUCCUGUAAUGGAUCUUCCACUUCUGGUAAAGAGUCAUCUAGUGUUGCUGGUGCAAAAUCUAGUACUUCCUCCUAUAAACUCUCUUCCUGUUCUUCAGUGCUGUCAUGGGUGAAUUCUGCCAUAUUGAUGGUUGGAUUCUGCAUAAAGAGCUUCCUUUCUUCCCAAUAUAUCAACAAUCUUUUUGUAAUUGAUACGAUUGUUACAGCUCGAUCAUUUUCUUGUUGAUUGGGACUAAACAUCAGAGUUCUAGAGGUUCAAAAUAAAAGGUAUAUUCCAGUCCUCUAGAGAACUGGCUAGAUCAUUUUCAAUGAGUCUUUGGGUCGUGACACCAUGGGGGCGGCUGUUCUAGUUGACUCCAAAGAACGUGAAAGGACCAAGAUCAUCAUGAUAAUACCUGGCCUCAAAACACAUGGCAGAAGGAAGAAAUAGCCAUGGAUCGGCCUCUACUAUUUCCAUGAACCCUCUUCAUGCCAAAAGGCUAAUUAUUGAUGCAGAGUGGAAGGAACACAUAGACUCUGGUGGAUCCAGUCUCUGCUAAGCAGCGCAUUGUAAGUGGUAGAGGUGGCAUCUAUGUCUACCACAAAAAAUGCGAUUUUUAGCUUCUUGGUUCCUACUAUGACGUCCACAUCUAGUACUUCAUGAGUCUUAGUGAUGCCCCCAGCAAAGUUGGUGACUGUCAAGUGUGUUGGGAUUAGAUCCUUCUCUGUUCUGCCCAUCUUGAUCAGCAACCUGUGAGGCAGAAGAUUAAUUGCUACACCUCCAUCUACCAUCACUUUGGGAAUAAGAACACCCCCAAAGUUUACUGCUAUGAAUAGAGAUCUGAGAUGAUUGGCCAUUUCUUUGGUGGGUUUGGAAAAGCAAAGCUGUUAUGCAGCUAUUUUUAUGGCAAUUUUGCCUGCUUUGGCAGUAAGUGUUUGCUAUUCUGGCAUCUCCUCCACUUCUGCCAAUCUGCACUCAAAACUUUCCUUGGAGAGCACGUCUCCUUCCAGAGUGGUUCCUUGUCCUUCUGCUGCUCUGAACUUUUCUGGCAGGAUAAAGACCAUGUUAAUGCCUAGAUCACCUUGUAACAGGCUUUCUAACUCUACACCAAAAGCCUCAGUCUCCUAAUCCAAUUCUCCAUCGUAUUCCAUUUGUUCUUCCCCAUAUUCCUCUGUCCAGUCUUCUUGUUCUCCUAUUUCGAGAAGCCCAAUCUGAUCGUCUGUAGAUGGUUCAUAGUUCAACUACUCCUCUUCAUUUUCUUCAGUCUAAUCUUCUUGUCCUUCUAUUGGAAUAGGUCGGGAUUGUCCUUGUAACUGGGAAGGUUCAAGCUUAUUGACUGAGGAUGAGGCAGGAUGGAUGGAAAGUCUGCCUGGAGAUUUUGUCUUUGUCAACUUUUGUGGUUGACAUGUUGUUUGUUCUGCCUAAAGAGCUAUUUCUGGAUGUUUCCCCCUUCUAGCAGAAUUGGUCUUUGAACUCUCCUCUUAUGUUUUCUGGUUAGUUCAAGAGUUGGUCUAUCGCUCUUUCCAACAGAAUACCACAUGCCUUCUAUGAUAGUUGCCAAGGGCUUGUCAUCUCCGGGCAUCUUAAUUGGUAUUUCCUUCUUUGGCUGCUCUGUCAUUCUUCGGUUGCGUUGGGCAAGCCUUAAAUAGUCCUUCUGUUUGACUCUGUCUCUAGGUGGAGCCGGAACUGGGUCCUGUUGGUAUGAUGUUCCAUCCUAUCAAAAACACUAGGUGUAGGCUGAUUUUGCCUAUCUAAAGUUACCUCCAACUCACUUUGACACUUACACUUGCUGCACAGAACUACCCUAGCCUAAAUGGUUGCCUUUGGCUUCUGAUUAGCCUCUCUCGUGACUCUCCUGCCUCUACUGGGGCUAGCUUCUGUUGUUAGUUUGCCUCUCUUCUGUUCUGGCCAAUUUAAGUUGCCCGUGUUGACCUAAGGUUGGGGAAAAGGAUCUAUUGUUACUGAGGAAGCUUUCCCCGCCAGUUUUAGCCUUCCUGCUGUUAUUCCUUCCUGUAUUACAUCCCUGAAAACAACACAACUGUUGGUGGAAUGGUUCCAAGAGUUGUGCCAUCUGCAAUAUUGUCUGCCCUUGAGUUCCUCUUGCUUGGGCAACCUGUGAGGUGUUUCUAUUGCCUUCUGCAGCAACACCUCAUCAAACAAAGCAUCAACCUUGGUUAGAGCGAAGGAAUAGACCUUAUUCUAUAUUGGUUUGUUUGGAACAAACUCUCAUGUGAAUGGUGAUGGCUUAUGGUCUUUUGGUGGUUUUGUCAGAACCUUGCAGCUAAUGGGAUGUUUUCAUUUCGCCAUUUCUGCCACGACAAUUUCUCUUUCUUCUGAGCAUUCUGUGCCUUCUUCUGAUUCACCUCAACCAGAUAUACUGAAGAAGAUGGGGUUUUGUAAUAUGUGCAUUUGGAAGAGUUCCUCUUUUGUUGUUCUUCCCUGAGCAGCUCCUCGUACUUGAAUGCUUUGUCUGCCAAGUCUGCCAAAUCUCCAAACAGUAUCCCAUCAAAUCUCUUCCUUAUAGAGAUUUUAAGGGCGGUUUGAGCCAUUUGGAUGAAGUGUCUUUCUUCCAUAGGGAUUCAGCUUUUCAUUUUGAGCUUUCUGAACCUGGUUACGAAGUCUUGAGCAGGCUCAUCUUCACUCUAUUUGAGGGCAGCAAGAUCACUGAUGGUGACUUAUGGCUGAAUCCUGAAAUAGUAGUCAUGGAAGACUUAUGGCUGAAUUCUAUGGCUAUGCAUUGGACAGAAAAUCUGCCUAUAUGCUCAACUGAUGAAGCGUGGAAGGUGAAGUUUGGCACCUUGAAACCUGGGGAUAGAGGUAUUUGAUCAAAAUAGACCGGAUAUGGCUUUCUUUAGGUGGGCCUUUCUCCUCUUCUGGCUUCAUGUUCCAUCAUCUCCCUAAUCAUUCUCUAAAGUGCCUCCAUGUCAUUCAAAGUAUUGACAGGAUACAGAUUUUGCCCAUGUUCUGGCUGGUUGUGCUCAAUCCUGUGCUCCAUUUUGUAUGGCUUGAGCAGACCUUCCUCCUUGUGUUCGUCCUCUUCUUCAAAAUCUAGAUGAUUCCUCCAGUUUGCCCCUAGUCUGUUCCUGUCAUUGUUUGCAAAGGGGUUAAUUCCCGCUCUGCCUCUCUUACCUCUUGCUAGUGGAGGGAAUGGAUUGGGGUGCAUCCUUCUAAGUCUAUAGGGCAACACAACUGGUUGCUCAAGCAGAAGUGCCAAGGGCUGAUCACGUGGGGCCACAGGUUGUAGAAUAGGUGGAGGUUUUGGCUGAUUCUUGGGGGCCUGAACUGGUGCAGAGCCUUCUGGAAUAUCUGGAGCCUCAUGUUCUUGGAUGGGAAGGGCUCCUCUCCGCUGUCCAUCUUGGAUUUCUCCACAUCUUGGUAUUCCAGCUAUUUGUGCAGUGAGGAAGGUUCUCUUAGUAUGCCUAUGCCAGUCUUGGUGGAGAUGCAUAAGGGAGAUCGAGCUACUGGACCACCAUAUCUGGGUUUGGAAUUCUAGCAAUAGAAGCCUCACGGUCCUUCCUGAACUACCUGAUGACUUGCCAUUGUAUCAUGCUUGUCAUGUUGUUUAGAUUAUCCUGGCUUAUUUGCGUUGUGGCCUCCUAUCGGAACACAACCCCCUGUAUCUGGUUCAACCUUCUGUAGCCAGACUUGGAACGUCUACUCCUGGUACUGCCAUAGGGUGAUUGCCUAGCAUCACUUUCUUCUAACUCCAGUCCUUCCAGGAGAGCUGCUUGAUCUCUUUCCAUGGCACAACGUGCAUUAUGGCUAGAACUUUCAAUAUUCAUAUACUAGAGGAUUUUUUUGAGAACAUGUAUACUGAGAGGUCCCACUAGGCGUGCCAAAUUGUUCACCUGUUUUAUAUUUGUUCCGGUGAUGGUAGGAUAAAGUUCCCCAUUGUCUCGAAAAUCAUUGACUCGUCAACAAGUCAACUUUCUUUUGUGUGCGAGCGUGCCACUACUAGCAAUAAAAACCCUAGUAGACUUCUUAAAAAUAGAUAACUUGCGUCCCAAGUUAUUAAUUUCUAAAUAGGCGAUUGUGAAUUUGGGUGAGGAAUAUCUCCCAAGUAAGUUCUUUUCUUGCCUUAGAUUGAUGAGGACUUCACAAUUUUUCACAGUACAAAGCUGGUAGUUGUGGCCAAAAUAAAUGAUAAGAAAGUGAACUGUUUUCAGACAGAACUGCCUAUUACAAAGCUCAAAAGGGAAGACCCAUUUUAAAAAGACAAAAAGAGCUUUGGACUUUAAUUUCUGCCUGGAUAGCUACUUUUGAUCCAGGUUGGAUUGGAUGUGUUUGUGCUGGAUUGGACUAUCAACACCUUCAACUAUCAAGUUUCAGCUGUAAAUCGACACCAACGUUCGAGUUUGGCAUAGCUUUAAUGUAUUUCAAGCCCUAGAAGGCUUUUUGAAUAGGCAGAAUUGGAACCUCUUCAGUCUUGAAGGGGCAGAAGUGGCUGGAUUUGAUGAUUAUUGAGCUAGAACUGCACUGUAGUACCUGUUCUGCUUGAUCACUCCAUAAAUUUGUUGAGGUUUUCAUAUUUGUAAAAACCAAGACUCUGCUUAAUUUGGCUUAUGCUAAACCAAAUUUGUAACGAGAGAAAUCUUGCUUUGAAUGACUAUUUCUCUGAAACUGAACUGAAGUUAGAGAUUCUGGAUUAUAGCUGACUUGUUUCUUGUGGCUCAAUGAGCUUUUGGUUGCUUCAGUGCUUUGAAAGUUUUUGAGAUCAAGUGAUCGUUUUGAGUUUUUGUUUUGGUUGAAUUUUUUGGCUGUCCUUUGAUCUGUUCACCUUCUCUCAUAUUUAUAGGAAAUGCUGGAGUGGAAUUUUCAAUCUUUAAAAUGGGCGGCAGAUUUUCUAAAAAACCAGAUCUUUUUAUUUUUAAAUGUCAGAAAAGGGAAGUUAUCUAUUCUGGCAAAUAAACCAUCAGCAGUUAGUUCUAAGACAUUCACUUCCCUGCUUUUCUUGAAAGAAACCCAACUCUGUUUGUUCUCUGUUUGUUCCUUGUAAAGAGAAAAACUCAAUCUGCCAUGAUGGUCAGUUUGCUUUUUCUGUUUUGAACAACUCCCUUGCUCCCUACUUAUCUCUUGAAAUCGUAGUAUGCUUCUCUUGGAAAGUCCACCUACUUUGGUGCAGAGUUCCUUUAUAUAUAUAAAAAGGGAUUUUGAUCUUCUUCCUUUGGCUGCAAAAUUGGAGAAGUCCUCCUAUAAGACCCGCCUUCAUUAAUUCUCUGUCAGCUCCUCUGUGAUGGUUGAGAUUUUUGACUUUUUCAAAGUCAGGUAGCCAAGUGGGUUUUCUUGAGAAUAGGCUUUCCAGAAAAAAUAUGCUGUCUUGUUCUUGGGUUUUUUUGAGUGAAACGGUGAAAUUUUUGGAAGCUGGGCCCUAAUCCAAUUCUUUCUUCUAGAUUUUUAACGAUUUGCUUGGUGGUCAAUUUUGCCAUUUAUUUGGCAAUUUUACUGACUUGCUUUGUGUUUUUACUUUUCUAUCACUUCGUAAAAAAAACAUGGACAUUUGGCGCGGAUUGGGCUUUUCCUUUGGAGUCAAAGCCCGGUCUUAUGUUUUCUUGUUCCUGGGCUAGUUGUGAGAAAUGGGCUGGCGUGUGAAUUCUUUCAGGCCCAAACAUCCUGCUGUGUAAUUUUGCCUCAGCCACCAUCUGAGGGUUGGCUUGUGUUCAUGGCCAUUCCUGAAGACUGCAAUUUUGGACUUCUUAUGACAAUUGUUUGCAGCGUGGACGGUCUUAUUUUUUUAUUUCUCUAUGUAACAAGAUUUUGGGAAUUUUGAGUAUAUGAUUCGGUGUAUGGUUUGCAAUAUUCAAAACCACUUGUUUAAUCGAACCGGACCGGUGGUCUUAUAAAAAUUAUAUCUAUAUAUAUAUAUAAUAUAGUACAAAGAAUUUAAAAGAUAAAAACUUUCUUUUGUCAGGCUUGGGCAUGCCAACACGCAACUUAUGCUCGACAAAAUUUGAAAAACACACAUGCCAACCACUCAAGCUCUUUUGUCUGUUUUGUCUCCAUCAGUCCCAAUAAUUAUCAAAUAAACGUGAAGACAAUAUGACUAGUCAUAAACCCUUUAACAUAUAAGCAUAACACAGAUGCACAACAUAUCAAAUAUUUAAAUCCCUGCAAGCCUAGAAGAUAACUACGUGACAACCUAGGCACUCAGAAAGACCUCUCAAUCUAGGCAUCUCCUGUGCUAACAACAACUAGGAUGAUAACUGUGUGAACAUUCAUCAACAUUUCAGAUAUAACACAAAUAGUAUGACUAGGCAUAUAAAUAAGAGAAUUAGUUUGUUUGAAGGUUCUCAGAGAUCAAGUGAUCAUUUUGAGUUUGUCUUUAGUUGAUUUUUUGGUUGUUUGAUUUGAAUGUCCUUUGCUGUGUUCACCCUCUCUUAGAAAUAGUUUUUUUUUAUAUUUUUUAUUUUUUAUUUUUUAUUUAUUUUAAAUUUAGAGACAGAGAGAGAAAUACUUUCUAAGGAACCAAUGAAGAAGAGUUCGCCCAUAAAGAUGAGCAAGAGUUUCCACGAGAGAGAAAUUUGUUUUGAGCAAUUAACGCCAAUUGAUGGAGAUAGGAUAGAAAACAUUAAUGGAGAAGGGUGCAAUUAGAUUAUCUUUCCAAAACCGGAGGUUAGGGCACAGGAGCAAAACCAGACUCUGAAAGGUAGUCCCAAUGGAAUCUUUGGAUUGCUUUUCUAUACAGUAGUACAGAAAAAAGGAAAAAAAAAAGAAGGUCCCAACUUUUCUGUCUGUCCCCGUACCUUAGCUUUAAAGCUCGCUUGGCUUUAAAAAAUAGAAAGCAAAAAAGAAAUAAAAAGGCUUUUGAAUUAUUAUUUUCACGUGUAGAAGUUACGUGCUCCCUCUAUAUAAACCCCAUGCAAUAUAGCUGGGUAGGUGUAGAGCAGGAUAGCUGGGUGGUAGUAUAGGGCUAAAUCUUCUUUCUAUUACUUGCACAUGACUCAAUUAAAAGUAAGUCAGGCUACUGGGAAGAGGACGUAUUGAGAAUUCAUGCUAUGCAACGAGAGCCCUAAUUUAAGCACGAUCGAAAUUGGAGGACGAAAAUGUGAUUGAGAUAUUAUUUAAGGACAAUCGACUGAGCAGAAGUUGAGGUUUCACACGUGGACAAACGCGCUCUGAUACUAUACAGGAAGUUGAGGUUCACCCAAAACCAAUUCACAAAAGAGAGAGUAGCUCAACUCUUCAUAAGCCCUUACUAAGUUCAUUAACUUUCCAAUGUAUAACAUUUUCAUCUUCACAUUGUCAUACUUUGGCCUUUAGAGAUUGACACCUUAUCCGAAUUUUGAUAAGGUAUCUAAAAAGUAAUCCCUCUUUCCUUUUUUAUUUCAACAAUAAUAGUAAGCGAAUAAAUACUAUAGCCACUCUUACAGACCUAAAACAUUAAAUAUUUGAAGCACAUGUAACAACAGAGCGCAGCCACCUCUAACUUCUUAAGCAGUGCGUUCAACAUCUUAGUCUUUGAGGAAAAAAUUUAAAGAUUGAUGCAAAUUUAACCCCCGCUCUAGGUCUUGGUGUUCGAAAACCAUAUAAAGAAUCGGAACACACUCUCUUUCUCCCCCCUCUUUAGGUUUCAAGUCAAGCCAAGAUGCAAUAAAAGUUCUGUGAAUGUGAUCAUAAAGCGGAAUCCACCUUCUCUCUUUAUUGGGCAGUAGGCGGGUGUGCGUGUCUGGCCGUCGGGUUUAAAGCUACUUUCUUUUCCACUUCUAUUACUUUCAGAUUAGACUCUCUUUUUUGGCCGCUUGCACAUUAUUCAAUAGUGAAAGUAGUUCAAGUCACUUAACAGGUGAGAGGACGUGUUGAGAGUAAAUAUUAUGCCACGUCCGUUUUUGAGUGCAUUUUUCUGACCACCCUUAAGCCUCACCACCCCUUUCAAAGUUUGGCAUAUGUAAAUGAGUUAAUUUCAGUUUGGUAUCCCGUAGUUGUACUUUUAAGGUAUUUCGUAGUUGUAUCCUAUGGGAAACCAAACUGAAAUUAACCCUAUGUAAAUUAAAGUAACCAUAGUUAAAGGUUUGCAGGUAAUAUGUUUUUCAUGCCACAAUUAUAUGAGAGAAAUUGAUGUAUUCAUUAAAAAUGAUUUCUUCUAUCAAGUUUUUCUUUCCUUGCAACUUUUGUUUUUUGCAAAUUUGAGUUAGGUUAGUUGGCCAAAGUAGUGUGCCCACAUUAUGGCACUCGAGAUCGAUUUCCUCCCCCUAGAUUAGAGUGCCCAUCUUGUUGCACCUGAGUUCGAACUAUGCUGGUGGGAAUUUUGAACUGGAGUGGAAUGACAUAAUCACAUGGUAUAACAAAACAACGUAGAAUAAUGCCAAGACCAUUCUCAUAAUCCUGAGAGUCAAAUAUAAGGACGACGUCGUAUUUUAGUAUAUAUGAAAUCUUUAUAGAAGGUGCACUAUAACUAAUGGCUGUUGGGCAAAGAACAAAAAAACAUGGGUGUCGAAUUCAGAAAAAAACUUAAUACCUUGAUGUAUAUAUCCUUUUAGUCCACAAUCUUAAAUCUUUCUUUAGACCAUUGCGUACUUGUGUUAAUUUACAAGUUCAUUUACAAAGAUGAUUACCAAUUUCCUCACACUUAGAAGAAGAAUAAUAAUAUAUAACAAUACUUGAUUAUUCCCUAAAGAAUGUAACAUCUAACCAGCAACUUCCCUUCUUCUUCUUCUUCUUCUUCUUCUUCCUUUAUCAUUAUUUUCAACAAUCUCUUCUUGACUAGGAUCCAACUCGGCAAGUUACCUAAUCAAGCUCCAAAUCGAAUUUCUUGUAUUUUUUGAUUCCUAAAAUACCGCCAACAAAGCCAUUAUUGCAUUUUGUAUAUUAAUGUAGACCAAUAUAGAAACAAUUUUUAAUUGGAUUGUAACUAAUAAUGAGACACAUUGAAUUUGGAAAGAUCUCCAAAUAGAUGUUGGAAUUCAUUCGGAAUUUUUUUUAAUUUAACAAUAAAUUCAUAUUUAACAUACCUAAUUGGUUUAUUUAAUAUAAAAAAGUUUUUAUUUAUUUAUUUAUGAAGUAUACGUGAGUACACCCUAUGAUCUAAGUACACCCUAAUAUUUUAAUUAAAAUAUAAAAUUAACUAAGUACACCCUAUAAAACUACCAGAAAUACCCAUGAUACACCAUAAUACUUGUAAUAUUAUUUUAUAGUUGAUUUUCAGCUUAAUUUUUUUAAUAGUGUUUAUAAAUCUUUGACUUUUCAUAUGGAUUUAUGCUUCUACUAAAACUGUUGACACUUUUUUAGCAAUUCCAAAUUCUUGCAAUCUCCACAUCUUUCGUUAAAAACACAAUAGGACAAGCAAUCUCUUGAUUAGGAUUGAAUAUGGUUAGUAGGGUGUACUUAUUAAAAUUAUAUUUGUUUCACAAUUCCAUAUAUCCUUUUUGGUCAUUUUAUAUUAGGGUAAAUCAGUAAUUCAAUAUAUACUUUUAUAGUCGGGUGUACUCAGUUAAUUUUAAGGUUCGUUUAGCAGCACUCAUUAUCUAUUAUAUUAUUAUUUUAUAAAUAUAAUAGCGUACAUACAAUUUUAUGUUAGAAAAAUAACAUACCUAUUACUUCAUUUUGCGAAAAAUAAUGUUUGGGGCUAAAUUCCAAUAACAACUUUUAAUUGGAUGGUAUCUAGGAAAUAGAAAUUGUAGGGGCCUAUAUUAAACCAGUCAUUUUAUAAUGGUUCUUGAUCAUAAUACGUUAUGAUAUACUCAAUUAGAACAUGAGUAUUUCAACUCAAAAUUAAUUGGCAACAAAUGAGAUUCACACUCUCAACAAUCUUAGGUCUAUUUUGCAUGGAAGAUCAAUUAACAAUGAGAGAGAAAUAGUUUCUUUUUUUACUUUUUUUUUUUUUUUUUGGAGAGAGAGAGAGAAAUAGUUUCUAUGGAACCAAUGAAGAAGAGUUUCCAUGAGAGAGAAAUUUGUUAUGAGCAAUUAACGCUAAUUGAUGGAGAUAGGACAGAAAACAUUAAUGGAGAAGGGUGCAAUUAGAUUAUCCACCCGUUGGCAAAUACCAAUGCUGCCAGGACAGAUCCACCCGUUGUUUGCGCAACUCUCAACAGGACUCAUUUCGAUACUCUUUUUCCAGGGUUCACAUUUGGCGCAGCUACAGCAGCUUACCAAGUCAGUGCAUUCUGGGAGCUUAAUUAAUAUUACUCAUGAAUUUGUUUUAAUUUUUUGUUUCAUAUAGUUACUUUACUUAGCAUGUGUCAUUUAUGAAUAUUGGCAUCUUCAUUCUGUAAAUCGUGUUUUAUAUGUAUAUCUGUAUGUGCAUUUCAGUUAGAAGGUGCUGCAAACAUAGACGGUAGAGGACCAAGCGUAUGGGAUAACUUCACCCACGAGCAUCCAGGUCUGUUGAAUCAAACAAUCAAUUAGUUAACAAAUCUUCUAUUUUCUAUUUUUUUUAGGUGACUAAAUUGAUGAUCAGUUACUUCAUUUCAAAAGCUAUAAUAAACAAGCCAAUGCUUCAUGGAAAUUAGUUAUUCUUCACUUACAAAGUGCUCAAUGGGAACUGCGCAGAAACUAUGACCUUACCCAGCAAAGAUCUGACAACUCCUCUAGAUCAAAGAAGAUAGUUAGAAAGUUGUAAAAAAUUGAAUAAGGGUAAUCAUGGAAAAUAAAACUCAAAUGUUUUAAUGUAUUAAUGUAUCAUUCAAAAAUGUAAUUAAGAGGAAUAAUACACAAGAGAAGAAGUGAGAAGUUCCAACCAAGAUGGUUAGGGUGAAGGUUGCGAGCAUUCCCCUAUUUAAAUAUCUAGAUAGCUAAAUUACUUUGUAUCUUUAUUUAUAACUAAAAUUACAUUUGAUUAAUUGCAGAAAAGAUAACUGAUGGUAGCAAUGGAGAUGUUGCUAUUGAUCAAUAUCACCGUUAUAAGGUUUGAAAAUCACAUAAUUGUAUUAUGUAGACCUUCUAUAUUUGAAUUUGAACACACGACAUUAAGGAUGAUAUCCUUAAUUUUUAGCUUCUUUUUUUUAUUUUUAUAAUUAUGUACAUAUUUUGUGUCAUUAUAGGAAGAUGUGGCAAUUAUGAAGGAUAUGGGGUUGGAUGCUUAUAGGUUCUCUAUCUCAUGGUCCAGAUUGUUACCAAGUAAGUUGAUCAUCCGCAUCCACAUAUAUUAUUGCGACCAAUCGCUUUAAUGUUUAACAUCUUUUAUUCAAUUUAAUUCCUAUUUCAUGAUAGGUAUUGGCUUAUAUUUUUCUUGUUUUGUUUUAAUUAUUAUUAGAUGGAAAACUAAGUGGUGGAAUUAACAAGAAGGGAAUCGAAUACUACAAUAAUCUCACCAAUGAACUCCUACGCAAUGGUGAUACAGCUCCUAAUCUCAUAAAAUCCUCCUAAUAUAACAACAGUACCUGCAGUUGUUUAAUCAAACUUCUAAUUUUCUUUUACUGGUCAUGCUAUAUAUAGGUAUAGAGCCAUUAGUGACACUCUUUCAUUGGGAUGUUCCCAAAGCAUUAGUAGACGAAUAUGGUGGUUUGUUAAGCCCUCGUAUUGUGUAAGUGGACAAAUUCCAUCCUUUGUAUAAUAUUGAUCACUUAAUUAUACAAAUAUUAUUAUAUACAAUAAAUACAUUUUUAAAUGUGUACACGCAGCGAUGACUUUAAAGCAUACGCAAACCUUUGUUAUAAGGAAUUUGGUGAUCAAGUAAAGCAUUGGACCACACUUAAUGAACCACAUACCAUUAGUAACCAUGGUUACACAAUCGGGAUCCAUGCUCCAGGACGAUGCUCUGAUUGGUAUAACCCAAAAUGCCUUGGUGGAGAUUCGGGUACUGAACCAUAUUUAGUGACACACAAUCUACUCAUUGCUCGUGCAGCUGCUGUAAAAUUGUACAGGGAAAAAUAUCAAGUACUUUCAUUAGUCUUUUUUUUUUUUUUUUUUUUUAUCUUUCAGAACAUUGAGGUCCAACGAGUAACUAGUAUUAUGUAACAAUAUAAGUGGGAAUACUUUUUAUAUUGAGAUAAACAAUAGUUGCAAUAAUAUAUACAUUCUUUUGGCUCUAAAUGAAAAGAAAAAAAAAACAAUUACUUAUCAUUCUGGAGCAGGCAUGUCAAAAUGGUGUCAUAGGAAUAACUGUUGUAUCACAUUUGUUUGAGCCCGCUUCGGAGUCACAACAAGAUAAAGACGCUGCAUUUCAAGCUUUGGAUUUUAUGUAUGGAUGGUAAGUGUAUUAUUAAUUUAUAUAUCAACUCAUUUAAAUGCUUUAUUUUUGAAUUAUAAAUUCAGUUAGGUAGCCCGUGGUACUUUAUAUUAUGUUAUAAGUUCACGUUUGGCAUUUUCAUAUAUAGGUUUAUGGACCCAUUGACAAGAGGUGACUACCCGCAGAUCAUGCGAUCUAUUCUUGGUGCACGGUUACCAAAUUUCACGGAAAAACAAUCUAAUUCAUUGAAUGGGUCAUAUGACUAUAUUGGAAUAAACUACUACUCUGCUAGAUAUGCAAGCGCUUAUCCUAAGGAUUAUUCUGUACCUACACCUCCAAGCUACCUAACAGAUGUUCAUGUUAAUGUUACAAGUGAGUGCAAACUGAAAAUUUCAAGCAAUUAAUGUAGUUCUCCUAAUAAUUAGAUCCUAAUAUUCAUAUUCAUUUAUGUUGUAGCAGCUGAUCUUAAUGAGGUCCCCAUUGGUCCACGGGUACGCAAUAAAUUAUUAGCUUAAGUUAUUGGAAUUUUGAGAAUUAAUAGCUAUAUAUGCAUAUAUUUUGUUUUCCAUAUACACAUAAAGUGCUAAAAGUCCCACUGAUCUUCAAAUGGGAUUGCGGGCUGCUUCAGACUGGUUAUAUGUUUACCCAAAAGGACUUUACGAUCUUGUACUCUACACAAAGGAAAAGUAUAAUGAUCCAAUUAUGUACAUUACUGAGAAUGGUAAUUAAUAUUUUUAAGCAUUAAUUAAUUGCAUCAUCAAUGUUUCACAUAUAUGUAUAAUGGUGUGAGAAUGGUAGUUAAUAUUUUUAAGCAUUAAUUAAUCGCAUCAUCAAUGUUUCACAUUAUGUAUAAUGGUGUAAAAUAAAGUGAAGUGUUGUAAACUCUAAACUUAAAACUAAAUGUACAUUUUUUCUUUGGUUAAACAAAUUGUAUGCAUUUGAUACUGCAUUAUAUUGUAGGCAUGGAUGAGUUCAAUAAUCCCAAAUUAUCACUCGAGCAAGCCCUUAAUGAUGCUAAUAGAAUUGACUACUACUAUCACCACCUUUGUUACCUCCAAGAAGCAAUGAAGUAAGUUUUUGUCAACAAAUUAAUUAAGGCUAUAUAUGUUUUGGCCUUCUUACAUUUCGGUUAUUUAAUCACUAUAUUGAACCAAUUAUGUUCUUCUUCUUUUUUGGGUGUUUUUAGGGAGGGUGCUAAUGUGCAGGGAUACUUUGCAUGGUCUUUGCUAGACAACUUUGAAUGGAGCGAAGGAUAUACUGUUCGAUUUGGUAUCAACUAUAUUGACUAUGACAAUGGACUGGAAAGACACUCAAAACUCUCGAUGCACUGGUUCAAAAGUUUUCUCAAGAGAUCCUCAAUUAGUAAGAAGAAAAUCCGAAGAUGUGGGAACAAUAAUGGUAGGGCUACCAAAUUUGUGUAUCAAAUUUGAAUCCCAAGGAUGGAUAAAGUACAAUGGCUCUUCCAUAGUGGUUGUACGAGCUGUUUUUCGUGUUUUAACUUUUUGUUUGACUUUUUCUGAGUCGGAAUAAGUUGCAACAACUCAUUACGAGUUAGUUGUCUUUCCUUGUGAGGGUUUAGUUUUAAUUUUACUCUAUAUUGUUUAUGUAAUGACCCAAACCUAAAAUGCAUAUAUAAUUAGUAAUUUAUUAUGCGGAAAGACAAUUUUGCUCUUUGACUAAAUUAUGAACCCAAAGUUGACUUUUUGACCGAAAAGGAAUUUGACAAGUCCACAUACGUCGUUGCGUAGAGCACGCUGACACGAGUUCAUAGACACGAAGUAAGCUUGAAUCGGAGUUUUAACGAAGAAAAUACGAUUAAAAUAUCACGAGGGGCAAAAUGGUAAAUUGGAAAAUCAGAUUUUAUAAAACCUGUUUCUCUCUCUCUCUUCCCCAUCAGUUUCUCUCUCCUCUCUCUCUCUCCCGCGCGCGAAGUCCGUCGCCCCUUCCCCUUCCGAUCAGCCCAGCCACCACCACAGGCCAUCCCGACCUACAACGCCGGUACAAACGGGACCGCCUCGCCCUCGCCGUCACGACCCGACCGUUCUCCGCCCACUAGCCGACCGGAGUUGGCCCGAAAAAGGAGAAAACCAACGGUUUUCGGGCUAAACUUCGAACCCUUCGUUCUCCUUCAAUUCUCCUCCAAAUCUUUCGAGUAAGGUAUGGAUUCUCACCUAUUUUUCGUGCUCUAGCUGAUGGUUGGAUAGGUUUUCAUCAAUUUUAGCCGUAGAUUGCCCAGUUUGUGAAUUAAAAUUCGGCCGGUUUUCGGCCUUCGUGUUCGGCCACUUCCGGUCAGUUUUUGUGGUUGGUCCAAGAACAAAAGUGGUUCCAAAUAUGGUGUUAUACCUAGGAUAGGAGUUUGGAGCCUUGGUUUUGAGAUUUUCCGGCGUUGUGUAAUCGCUUUGGACACCCAUCGCUGCCGGCGCGUGGGUGAGUGUGGUGCCGUGACACUGUGUUCUGAUGCGAUCCUUAGGUCGUCACGAGCGCAUAGGAAUUCGCGGAUCUCAAUUUGGAUACCGUUUGAGCCUCGAAUGGAUUUUUCAUAUUGUGCGAUUAUCGGGUUCAAUACUGUUGAGCCGUUGGAUCGUAAUCAAUGGUAGAUAUGUUAUUCUAGAUAAUUUUAGAAACGUGUAGGAUUCGACGGAUUGUGAAUCGGAGUCCCGGAUACUCCGAAAUCGCGAACCCUAGGGCUAGGGUUUAGAAAUUAUGCGAUUACACGAUCGUGAUUAAUCCGACCGUCCGAUUGACACCAAUACCCUCAGGACAUGUGUCCUAAAUAUAUUGGACAUUCUAGCGGCAUCCGGAUCAUAUUGUACCCGUGGGGUUCCGGAUUGACUUUUUGGACUUUAGCGCUUUUUGAGUCCCAAGAUACCGCUAAACUACCCCACGUGGAAGGAAAGCUGUUAUGGGCAUAGGGAUCACUUUAAAUUGACUCACGUACUUUUAGGAGCCGGGGAUAGGGUUUUUAAUUUAAUACUAUCUUGUAUUAAUAGAAUAUUAUAGUCAUUGAAUCAGGCACCCGGGCACCAGUUGACCCGCAGGAGGGACCUUCAAGAGGUCCAGCGAGCUCAGACUACCAGUGAGUGGACUCUUUGUUUUAAUAAAUGAAUUUAAGCAGUUCAAUUUCAGUUAUCAGCUGUUUUAUUCUGUUAAAUAUUUUAUGUUGCAUGCUGCCGAGUGACAUUUCCUUUAAAGAAUAUAGGAACAGAUAUUCUUGUUCAUUAUCAGAUAAAUGGCAGCAGAAUUUUAAAGGUUACAGAAACUUUAUAUUUUCUUAACUCACCUUGUACCCAGUUAUUAAAUGUUGCCUUCGGUUUAUAUUUCGUGCCUUCGGUUUAGUCAGCAUGCUUGACAGUUGCCCCACGAGUUCGAACUCGUGUGGAGCGAGUAAUGCGGAUAAAGGUGGACUACGGUUCCCUGAAUCCUGCGAGUUGCGGCUCGGACUGACUUCGUGUCACUGAGACCUGCGAGUAUGUGUCACCCAUGGUGAUGCAAGGAAUUGACGGAAAUAAGGAUUUGACGGAAGUAAGGGUACACCUAGGUGAUAGUUUAAACUGUUUUCAAAUAUAUAUAAUUAUCUACAUGCAUUGAUUUCAGACAUAAAGAAAAUAAGCUAGUUUAUAUAACCGUUUUUACAGUGGGGUUAGUAUGUUCAUAUGGUAUUUUCUAAACUCUGUUUUUUGGGUCCACUCACCCUUUUUGUUGUUUUGCGCCCCCAGGCAGCAGACGUGCACAGGAAUCCACCACCGGGCUACUUCCCAUCUUCCGCGCCUUUCUUCUGAUGUAGGAUUUUGUUUUGUAAAAAGAUUCACUCUUUUGUAAAUUCUUAGUAAUCGCUCUGAUGUUUUGCCCUAGACUGAGCUUUGAACUCUUGGCAUGUGUAUAUAUAUGUAUGCUGGCAGUUGGUUGUAUAUAUAUACUUGUUUUGACAGGUGAAAAUGUUUUGGUAUUGAGCCAGAUACAAGGGAAACUCUGCCGGUUUUUCGGUAGAAGUCAACCUUGUUAUUUUUCUCGUGUUUUGUAUAGAAGGGCAAAUAGGUCAUUUGUGUCCGACAUUCGCCAGGUGUCGGACACGCACAGGGUCUGGUUCGGAUUCCAAAGCAGAAUUUCGAUCGGGUCCUGUCAGUUUAUGUGCCUCGUUUAUCCAAGUUUGUUGACUUUAUGCGGUCGAGGUGCUUUGGCCGGUUGUGGAUAUGGUUGGAGGGAUAUCUUAUUGUCUAGAUGUUGUUGAUGUAUCCUUCAUGUGUUUGUAUUAGUCCUUGUAAUCAGUGCCCUUUACGACUAAAUUAUAUAUGUAAUUUUUUCUAAAUAAAAACGUUAUAAAUAAAAAUAAAAACUAAAAUAAAUAAAUGUUGAGCCUUGACUGAAAUAUUUGCUACUUAUGGCAUCUAGUUUGUCUUUUGAACUUAGAACAAAAUACUAGUGUAUAAAUUCUUUAUAAAUCUGUUAAAAAUUCAAAAGAAAAUGCUCGAUCAGGUGCUUAUUUAAGAAAACGUCAAGUCGGCUAUCAGCACAAUACUUUUCUUCAAAAGAAAACUAAUGUUGCUUGUAUGAUUAAUUUCAUGUGUACAAAUUAUACAUAGACUUUAGCUUAUAUAUAUAUAUAUUAAUUUCAAUACAAUACUCCUUACGCCACAUAAACUUUAUCUUUCUUUAUAAACGAGAUGAUAAUUUAUUUUUCCAAAAGAAAUCCAGCCAUUGUGAUCUGCCACAAUGAGAGACUUUUUUUAAUCCUGCACAAUACCAUCCAUUUAUCAAACAAAACAAAAAAAUAAAUAAAAAUCCACCAGGCCUUUCCCAAAGCAAAAAGCUCAUAAGAGACAAAGCCCACUCUCUAUCCUUCUUCACCACACUGAGCAUAACCAUCAAACUAGACAGCCAGUUCCCAAUUGUGGUAAAUCUUUGGACACCACUUUAUGGUUUAGAGGUGAACCAAACCAAGCUGCUUGGGCCUAGGGACAAAGGAACAAUAUAUGCUCAGUAGACUCUUUAAAUACGUUAGAAGAGAAAGUAAAUGAUACUAUUCCUGUGUUCACCUGUUUUAUAUUUGUUCCUGUGAUGGUAGGGUAAAGUUUUCCAUUGUCUCGAAAACCGUUGAUUGGUCAACAAGUCAACUUUCUUUUGUGUGCGAGCGUGCCACUGCUAUAGCAUACUUCUUAAAAAUAGAUAACUUGAGCCACAAGUUACUAAUUUCUAAACUGGCGAUUGUGAAUUUGGGUGAGGAAUAUCUCCCAUGUAAGUUCUUUGCUUGCCUCAGACUGGUGAGGACUUCACAAUUUUUCACAGUACAAAACUAGUAGUUCUGGCCAGAAUAAAUGAUAAGAAAGUGAACUGUUUUCAGGCAGAACUGCCUAUUACAAAGCUCAAAAGGGAAGACCAACUUUAAAAUGACAAAAAGAGCUUUGGACUUUAAUUUCUGCCUGGAUAGCUACUUUUGAUCCAGGCUGGAUUGGAUGUGUUUGUGCUAGAUUGGACUAUCAACACCUUCAACUGUCAAGUUUCAGCUGUAAAUCAAUACCAAAGUUUGAGUUUGGCAGAGCUUUAAUCUAUUUCAAGCCCUGGAAGGCGCUUUGAAUGGGCAAAAUUGGAACCUCUUCAGUCUGGAAGGGGCAGAAGUGGCUGGAUUGGAUGAUUACUUCAGGGCUCUCCAUAAAUUUGUUGAGGUUUUCAUAUUAGUAAAAAUCCGAACUCUCCUUGAUUUGGUUUAUGCUGAACCAAAUUUGUAACGAGAGAAAUCUCGCUUUGAAUGACUAUUUCUCUGAAACUGAACUGAAGUUAGAGAUUCUGGAUUAUAGCUGACUUGUUUCUUGUGGCUCAAUGAGCUUUUGGUUGCUUCAGUGUUUUGAAGGUUUUUGAGAUCAAGUGAUCAUUUUGAGUUUUUGUUUUGAUUGAAUUUUUUUUGCUGUCUUUUAAAAUGGGCGGCAGAUUUUCUAAAAAACAAGAUCUUUUUAUUUUUAAAUGUCAAAAAGGGAAGUUAUCUAUUCUGGCAAAUAAACCGUCAACAAUCAGUUCUGAAGCAAUCACUUCCCUGCUUUUCUUGAAAGAAAACCAACUCUCAUUAUUCUCUGUUUGUUCCUUGUAAAGAGAAAACUCAAUUUGCCGUGAUGGUCAGUUUGCUUUUCCUGUUUUGAACAACUUCCUUUCUCCCUACUUAUCCCUUGAAAUCGUAGUCUGCUUAUCUCUUGGAAAGGCCACUUGCUUUGGUGCAGAGUCCCUUUAUAUAUAUGAAAAUGGAUUUUGAUCUUCUUCCUUUGGCUGCAAAAAUGGAGAAGUCCUCUUGUAAGACCUGCAUUCAUUAAUUCUCUGUCAGCUCCUCUGUCAUGGUUGAGAUUUUUAACUUUUUCGAAGUCAGGUAGCCACGUGGGUUUUCUUGAGAAUAGGCUUUCCAGAAAAAAAAAAAAAAAAAAACUGUUGACUUGUUGCUGGGUUUUUUUAGAGAAAUGGUGAAAUUUUUAAAAGAUGGGUCCUAAUCCAAUUCUUUCUUCUAGAUUUUUAAAGAUUUGCUUGGUGGUCAAUUUUGCCAUUUAUUUCGCAAUUUUGCUGACUUACUUUCUGUUUUUACUUUUCUAUCACUUCGUAAAAAAGCCCGAUCUUCUGUUUUCCUGUUCCUGGACUUUUUGUGAGAAAUGGGCUGGCGUGUGAAUUCUUUUAGGCACAAACAUCCUACUGUGUAAUUUUGCCUCAGCCACCAUCUAAGGGUUGGCCUGUGUUCGUGGCUAUUCCUGAUGACUGCAAUUUUGGACUUCUGAUGACAAUUGUUUACAGCAUGGACGGUCUUUUUUUUUAUUUAUUUCUCUAUGUAACAAGAUUUUGGAGAGUCCUCCGAAUCUGUCAAGAAUCUGUGCACUACUACCUUGGAGAGUCCUCUGAAUCCGUCUGCUCCUGGCUCAUUUUGGAUGAUCCAGAUCUGGUUGCAAGUGUACUUCCCAGAACUGAGGUUUCCGGACAUCGUUCUGCCUGAAGACUAGGUCAUGGCUCUUUCGUUGAUGUCAGCAGAAGUGCCCAAGCGCUCUAUUGAAGAAUACUUGAUAUUCUUUAGGCACUGCACCAAGAGAUCUGUUGCACAGUGGCAAAUGGUGCUCAGGGGGACCUAUCCUUGGUUUCAGCCUGGGUAUAGACUGUUUGAGAAAAAGCCAGAAGAAGAAGAAGCCAGGAUUGAUUUCAGGAAGAAGUUCCUGAGUGUAAUGCUGCCCAGGGACAUGCCCUUUGGUGGAGGCAAACCUCCCAACUAUCAUCUGGAGGCAGAAAUGUAUCACCCCAAUUUCUGCGCUGGGCAACUUGGUUGUCCUCAACUAAUUCCUCUUAAGUAAUACAGAAGCUGCAACCGGGCUACCUCUUGGGGGGACUCAGACAACCUAGACGUGCAUAAGGACUGCAGAUGCUCAGUUAAUAAAAUCAACAACGGUGUGGAUGCUUUCUAUCCAUCAUGGGAGCCUAAUUCUUGCAGUUAUGCCAAUUUUGAUGCUUGGAGGAAGGCUAGGUUUUCUGGCCUGACGGACGCAAACACUGCUGUGAAGGUGUUGUUUGAUACCUAGGAUGUUGGCACUGUCUUGGAAGAAUCAGAUGCCAAGAAGUUUAUUGUGCAACUUGUGAAGGGUAUAAAUGCCCAAGUAAUUAAAGGAAAAGUCUCCAGUUUGGCCCUCCCUUUUUACUUCUGUUCUGCUUGUGAUUUAUCUCAUUCUUUCCGGGUAAUCCUAAACUGUUCUGCCUAUUUUCUGCAGAUCCUUCCAUGACAACCAACCUUGGAGGACAAGCUGUUCAAUCUGGGGAGGUGAUUGGUAAGUUUCUGAAUUCUGUCCUUCUCCCUUCCUUCUGCUGGAUUGCGUUCUAAUUCUUCAUUCUUCUGUGUAGUUACUUCUGUUAUAGUUGCUGGGGAUCUAGAGCUCCCCUUUGGAGAUGAAGAAGAUUAGCAUGAGUCCCUGGCAGAGCAACCAGCUGUUAAGGCCACUCCUUCUGCUGGAAGGAAAAGAAAAGAAGCUGCUCCUGCUUAGGACAGUGUUGUCCAGCUCGAAGUUUCUGGUAAGACUUUGAUAUCUUGAACUUUUUGAUUUUAUUCCGUUUUGUUCUGCCUAUUUUCCUAACCUUUUUUCUUCUGUUUUUACAACUGAAAGUCCUCCUUCUCCUCCUCCUACUAGGUCGAAAAGACUUAGGAAAAGGAUUGCAGUGGAAUCUGAAGAGACAGAAGAGCCUGCAGCUGUUCUUACCAAAACUUCUGGAAUUGAUGAAGAUCUGAGGGAAGCUUUUGAAGCUGUGGAGCAAGAGAAGGAAUAAGAAAAAGAAAAAGACGUUCCCACAAAAGAGAAAGAAAAGGAGUUUGAAGAAGAGGCCGCAUGAUUAUUUUACAUAUGUUCUUCUUCUAACUUCUGACUCAUGUCCAUCUGUAGGAGGAGAUUCCCGCUGAGGUAAUAGCAGAAAGCAUUGCCUUGGCCAAACAACAAGAAAAAGCUCAUAGGGCAGAACCCACAAGCUCAAAAUUGGCCCUAUUUGAUGAUGUGGAGGUAGAUCAUUCUGAUGCUGCCCCAGAGCUUGAAGGGAGGCAAAACAACCUGUUGCUAUUCCUGAACCUGAGGUAACUUUUGUUUUGCUUUUGACUGCCUGGUUUUUUGCAGUUCUGUUCUAUUUUGCUUCUAAUACCUUUGUCUUUUUCAGGUGGAAAAAGAUAGAACUGCUGGGGUUUUGACCGUGGCGAUCAGUCCUCUUAAGCCUCCUAUUAUAGCUGUGAGUAUUUGCUUGUUCUUGAGCUUCCUUUUGAUUUUAGUUUUACAUGAAACUAACUUGAGAUCCUUUUGCAGAUGCCUAUCCAUUCUAUUCCUAAUUCACCAGCCACUGCCUCAUUUGUUGAUCCAGAACUAGUAGAAUUUGAAGCCAUGGAUCUGGAUGCUUAGCUGGACAAGCUAGAAAAACUCAGCUCUACUCCUGGCAAGGCUAAAUCCAAGGCAAUGGAUGAGGCAGUGGACAAAGUAAAAAUAUGGCAGUCAAACGAGCUGGACUUGGAUGAGAAUAGAAAAGCCGUUGACCAGCUGAUGAAGGAUCUGGAUCUGUUGCACAGGGAGAACAUGGCUCCCAGACCUAUCCUCGAGCUCAACUUAGGCCCGGCAAAGAUGUGCUCAAUCUCUACACUCGUUAUGAAGAUGCAAGGCUACGCAUGAAGCCAACCUGGCUGAUUAUCAAAACCAAAAAGCAGAACUGGAUCAGAUGGUGGUAGGUUACAAGGAGGCCAAGACUGCUGCUGAUAAGCUGGAGAAACAUAUUGAAGAAAUUCAAGCGCAGCUGGCUGGACUGAGGGAGAAGCAAAACAAGUUUGGGGCUGGACUGGGCACUAAGACCAAGGCCACUUUUCUUGUGCAGAACAUGGUUGCAGCUUCUAGGCCAGCAUUGUAGAUUGUAGAGGCCUCACUAUAUUUGGUGAAAGCAUAACUCUGAACAAAAGAAUUCAGGGAACAAAACAGACUUAAAGAUAACACUUAUAAGCAUAACUCUGAACAAAAAUUCGAACAACAAUUCUAUCUUGUUCAUCCUCUAUUCCAGGAUCGGUUUGCACAGCCUGUGAAUCCCACAUAGUUAGGUAGAAUUUCUUCAGCCAUUUGCCAUUGAUUGGUGCAGCAUAAAUAUCUCCAUCUCGAUCCUGUAAUCUGUAUUAUCCCAGUCUAAGGACUCGCUGGAUUAUGAAAGGACCUUCCGAUGUAGGUGACCACUUUCCAUAACCAGCUAUGUGUGUUCUGAGGGGCAGAACUACUUUCCAGAUUAUUUCUCCUUCUUCAAAACUUUUGUUUUUAACUCUUUUAUUGUAGGCCCUUGAUACAGCCUUUUUUCCUGCUAAGAGUUUGUUGAGGGUAUCAAUUCUACUGGCAUCCAAACCUUCUAGUUCUAGCAGCAUUGCUUGAGAGUAGUCUUCUCCAAUCAAAUUGUGUUGCUGAGCAAUUCUAAGAGAUUGCACUGCUAUUUUCAUAGGCAGAAUUGCAUCAUGACCAUAAGUUAGAGCAUAUGGGGUCAUGCUAGUCACCUCUCUCUUUGAAGUUCUAUAUGCCCAGAGAGUUUCUGAUAAUUUCUCAUGACACUGCUUUGAAUUUUUCUCAAGCAUUUUCCUGAUAAUGUUGAUGAUCACUUUGUUACUUGAUUCUGCAUAUCCAUUAGCUUGAGCAUAAUAAGGGGUAGAGUGAAGUAGUUUGAACUUGAAUGCUUCUGCAAUAUCUAGCAUUUCUCCAGAUAUGAAAGAAGAUCCCCUGUCAGUUGUGAUUGACUCUGGAAUACCAAACCUCUGUAUAAUCUGCUAUUCUAUGAAGGUGAUGAUCUCUUGAGAUGUAGUCGAUUUAAUAGGUUUGGCUUCCACCUACUUGGUGAAAUAGUCUGUAGCCACAAUGAUAACAUAAUGUUGUUUGCUACUGGCUGGAUAGAUUUUACCAAUGAGAUCCUUUGCCCAUCCUCUGAAUGGCCAUGGCUUAACCACUAGACUCAUGGGAACUGAAGGAGCCUGCUGGAUUGGACCAUGCCUUUGACAAGCCUCAUAUCCCUUGGAAUACUCAAUGCAGUCUUUCAUCAUGGAUGGCCAAAAGUAGUCAUACCUUCUAAUUAACCAGCACAUCUUCCUCCACCUUGAUGAGCUCCACAGAUUCCUUCAUGGGUUUCUCCCAAAUCUCCAUUCCACAUGAUGUAGUUUAAGGCUAUGAUUCUGAUCCUUUUUUCAUAGGAAAGGUUUGGAUAAUGCAAAUAAUUGAUUAUAGGGAGCCUCCAAUCUUCUUCAGUCAUUAUGGCAGUAUUGACAUCUAUUUCCAUUCCUUUGAUUAGGACAGAUGGUAGGCUUUUCUUUCCUAUCUUGAUGAUUCUUUGUACACAGUUUUCAGGCAUUUGUAUCCCUGUUGCUAUUUGAGCCAUUUCAUUAGCUGCAAAGUUUUCUUCCCUUGGGAUAUAUUCCCAAGUUGCUUCCCUAAAUUCUGCCAGAGGGUUUCUAGUUGCCACCAAAUAAACACAUAGAGAAGGAUUUAGACACUUGUAUUCUCCAGCAAUCUCUUUUGACACCAGCAUAGAAUCUCCCAAAAUUUCCACAGACUGGAUUCCUAAUUCUACCAGCAUUUCAAGGCCAAUGAUUAAAGCUUCAUAUUCAGCCUUGUUGUUGGUGCAUUGAAAAUCUAGUUGAAUAGAAUGGUGGUAGCUUUUGGUCUUUUGGUGGUUUUGUCAGAGCCUUGCAGCUGAUGGGAUGUUUUAAUUUCGCCAUUUUUGCCACGACAAUUUCUCUUUCUUCCAAGCAUUCUGUGCCUUCUUCUGAUUCUACCUCAACCACAUGUACUGAAGAAGAUGGGGUUUUGUAAUAUGUGCCUUUGGAAGAGUUCCUCUUGUGUUGUUCUUCCUUGAGCAGCUCCUCGUACUUGGAUGCUUUGUCUGCCAAUUCUGCCAAAUCUCCAAACAGCAUCCCAUCAAAUCUCUUCCUUAGAGAGAUUUUAAGGGCGGUUUGAGCCAUUUAGAUGAAGUGCCUUUCUUUCAUAGGAAUUCGGCUUUUCAUUUUGAGCUUUCUGAACCUGGUUAUGACGUCUUGAGCAGACUCAUCUUUACUCUGUUGGAAGGCAGCAAGAUCACUGAUGGUGACUUAUGGCUGAAUCCUGAAAUAGUAGUCAUGGAAGACUUAUGGCUGAAUUCUAUGGCUAUGCACUGGACAGAAAAUCUACCUAUAUGCUCAAUUGAUGAAGCGUGGACGUCUUCUCCGUUGAACAAUGUGAAGUUUGGCACCUUGAAACCUGGGGAUAGAGAUAUUUGAUCAAAAUAGGCCGAAUAUAGCUUUCUUUAGGUGGGCCUUUCUCCUCUUCUGGCUUCAUGUUCCAUCACCUCCUUGAUCAUUUUCUAAAGUGCCCUCAUAUCAUUCAAAGCAUUGACAGGAUGCGGAUUUCGCCCAUGUUCUGGCUGGUUGUGCUCAAUCAUGUGCUCCAUUCUGUAUGGCUUGAGUAGAACUUCCUUUCUGUGUUCUUCCUCUUCUUCAAAAUCUUGAUGAUUCCUCCAGUUUUCCCCUAGUCGGUUCCUGUCAUUGUUGGCUAAGGGUUUAAUUCCCGCUCUGCCUUUCCUACCUCAUGCUAGUGGAGGGAAUGGAUUGGGGUGCAUCCUUCUGGGUCUGUAGGGCAACACAGCUGGUUGCUAAGGCAGAAGUGCCAAUGGCUGAUCACGUGGAGCCACAGGUUGUGGAAUAGGUUGAGGUUUUGGCUGAUUCUUGGGGGCCUGAACUGGUGCAGGGCCUUCUGGACGAUCUGGAGCCUCAUGUUCUUGGAUGGGAAGGGCUCAUCUCCUCUGUCCAACUUGGAUUUCUCCACAUCCUGGUAUUCCAGCUAUCUGUGCAAUGAGAGGGUUCUUUUAGUAUGGCCAUGUCAGUCCUGGUGGAGAUGCAUAAGGGAGAUCUAGCUGCUGGACCACCAUAUCUGGGUUUGGAAUUCUAGCAAUAGUAGCCUCACGGUACUUCUUGAACUGCCUGAUAACUUGCCAUUGCAUCAUGGCUGUCAUGUUGUUUAGAGUAUCCUGGCUUAUUUGCGCUGUGGCCUCCUAUCGGAACACAACCUCUUGUAUCUGGUUCAACCUUCUGGAGCCAGACUUGGAACGCCUACUCCUGGUACUACCAUAGGGUGAUUGCCUAGCAUCACUUUCUUCUGACUCCAGUCCUUCCAGGAGAGCUGUUUGAUCUCUUUCCAUGGCACAUCGUGCAUUCUGGCUAGAACUUUCAAUAUUCAUAUACUAGAGGAUUUUUUCGAGAACAUGUAUACUGAGAGAUCCCACUGGGCGUGCCAAAUUGUUCACCCGUUUUAUAUUUGUUCCUGUGAUGGUAGGGUAAAGUUCCUCAUUGUCUCGAAAAUCAUUGACUCGUCAACAAGUCAACUUUCUUUUGUGUGCGAGCGUGCCACUACUAGCAAUAACAACCCUAGCAGACUUCUUUAAAAUAGAUAACUUGUGCCCCAAGUUAUUGAUUGCUAAACAGGUGAUUGUGAAUUUGGGUGAGGAAUAUCUCCCAAGUAAGUUCUUUUCUUGUCUCAAACUGGUGAGGACUUCACAAUUUUUCACAGUACAAAACUGGUAGUUCUGGCCAGAAUAAAUGAUAAGAAAGUGAACUGUUUUCAGACAGAACUGCCUAUUACAAAGCUCAAAAGGGAAGACCAACUUUAAAAAGAGAAAAAGAGCUUUGGACUUUAAUUUCUGCCUGGAUAGCUACUUUUGAUCCAGGCUGGAUUGGAUGUGUUUGUGCUGGAUUGGACUAUCAACACCUUCAACUGUCAAGUUUCAACUGUAAAUCGAUACCAAUGUUCGAAUUUGGCAGAGCUUUAAUGUAUUACAAUCCCUAGAAGGCUCUUUGAAUAGACAGAAUUAGAACCUCUUCAGUCUUGAAGGGGCAGAAGUGGCUGGAUUUGAUGAUUACUGAGCUAGAACUGCACUGUAGUACCUGUUCUGCUUGAUCACUCCAUAAAUUUGUUGAGGCUUUUAUAUUUGUAAAAACCAGGACUCUGCUUGAUUUGGCUUAUGCUGAACCAAAUUUGUAACGAGAGAAAUCUCGCUUUGAAUGACUAUUUCUCUGAAACUGAACUGAAGUUAGAGAUUCUGGAUUAUAGCUGACUUGUUUCUUGUGGCUCAAUGAGCUUUUGGUUGCUUCAGUGCUUUGAAGGUUUUUGAGAUCAAGUGAUCGUUUUGAGUUUUUGUUUUGAUUGAAUUUUUUUGGCUGUCCUUUGAUCUGUUCACCUCCUCUCAUAUUUAUAGGAAAUGCUGGAGUGGAAUUUUCAAUCUUUAAAAUGGGCGGCAGAUUUUCUAAAAACCAGAUCUUUUUAUUUUUAAAUAUAAAAAAAGGGAAGUUAUCUAUUCUGGCAAAUAAACCAUCAACAGUCAAUUCUAAGGCAAUCACUUCCCUGCUUUCCUUGAAAGAAACCCAACUCUGUUUGUUCUCUGUUUGUUCCUUGUAAAGAGAAAAACUCAAUCCGCCAUGAUGGUCAGUUUACUUUUCCUGUUUUGAACAACUCCCUUGCUCCCUACUAAUCUCUUGAAAUCGUAGUCUGCUUCUCUAGGAAAGUCCACGUGCUUUGGUGCAGAGUUCCUUUAUAUAUAUAAAAAGGGAUUUUGAUCUUCUUCCUUUGGUUGCAAAAUUGGAGAAGUCCCCCUGUAAGACCCGCCUUCAUUAAUUCUCUGUCAGCUCCUCUGUGAUGGUUGAGAUUUUUGACUUUUUCAAAGUCAGGUAGCCAAGUGGGUUUUCUUGAGAAUAGGCUUUCCAGAAAUAAUAUGUUGUCUUGUUCCUGUGUUUUUUUUGAGAGAAACGGUGAAAUUUUUAGAAGCUGGGCCCUAAUCCAAUUCUUUCUUCUAGAUUUUUAACAAUCUGCUUGGUGGUCAAUUUUGACAUUUAUUUGGCAAUUUUACUGACUUGCUUUGUGUUUUUACUUUUCUAUCACUUCGUAAAAAAACAUGGACAUUUGGCGCGGAUUGGGCUUUUCCUUUGGAGUCAAAGCCCGGUCUUCUGUUUUCUUGUUCCUGGGCUAUUUGUGAGAAAUGGGUUGGCGUGUGAAUUAUUUCAUGCCCAAACAUCCUGCUGUGUAAUUUUGCCUCAGCCACCAUCUGAGGGUUGGCCUGUGUUCAUGGCCAUUCCUGAUGACUGCAAUUUUGGACUUCUGAUGACAAUUCUUUGCAACGUGGAUGGUCUUAUUUUUUUAUUUCUCUAUGUAACAAGAUUUUGGGGAUUUUGGGUAUAUGAUUUGGUGUAUGGUUUGCAAUAUUCAAAACCACUUUUUUAAUCAAACCGGAUCGGUGGUCUUAUAAAAAUUUUAUAUACAUAUAUAUAUAUACAGUCAUGAUCUCUUGGAUUACAGGGGUCCAAGAGAUUUGUGGUCACUCAUCGUUGGAUGUAAAUUCGACGGUUCACUCACUCUUGCACUCCUUUUAAGAAACGUUUUUGAACUAUUGGAUUAAUAUCCAACGGUGGGCGACCACAAUCUCUUGGACUCCUGUGGUCCAAGAGAUCGGGACUAUAUAUAUAGGGGGCGGAUCCGUGACACUAUGUUUUUGACACAAGUUUUGACAUAAUUUUUGGACCAUUAGAUUACUCCACUUUCAAUGGUUGAGAUUAAACCUCACAUGGUAAGUAGUUUUAAUUUUUUAAAUAGACAAUCAUUUUUUUUUCUCCCUCUCAUAAAAAUAAAAGAAAUGAUUUUCUCUCUCCUCCCUUUUUUUCUUGGAGACGUAAUCCCAGCUGCCUUUUUAAUAUCAAAUAUUUAUUAAGGUGUAAUAAAUAAAGAAUUUCACCAAAAACUAAAGGCCCAAACCGUGAAGAGUCUCUUCAGUUUCCCCUUCUUCCCGCACAUGCAUAUGCAAUCAUCAAUUCAUCUUCAGCUUAUAUAUAUAUAUAUAUAUAUAUAUAUAUUAUUUUUAUAAUACCACCAAUCCGGUUUGAUUAAACAAGUGGUUUUGAAUAUUGCAAACCAUACACCGAAUCAUAUACCCAAAAUCCCUAAAAUCUUGUUACAUAGAUUAAUAAAAAAAUAAGACCGUCCACGCUGCAAACAAUUGUCAUCAGAAGUCCAAAAUUGCAGUCCUCAGGAAUAGCCAUGAACACAGGCCAACCCUCAGAUGGUGGCUUAGGCAAAAUUACACAGCAGGAAUAAUAUCAUUUACUUUCUCUUCUAACGUAUUUAAAGAGUCUACUGAGCCUAUACUGUUCCUUUGUCCCUAGGCCCAAGCAGUUUGGUUUGGUUCACCUCUAAACCAUAAAGUGGUGUCCAAAGAUUUACCACAAUUGGGAACUGGCUGUCUAGUUUGAUGGUUAUGCUCAGUGUGGUGAAGAAGGAUAGACAGUGGGCUUUGUCUCUUAUGAGCUUUUUGCUUUGGGAAAGGCUGGUGAAUUUUUAUUUAUUUAUUUUUUUUGUUUGAUAAAUGGAUGGUAUUGUGCAGGAUGAAAAAAUUCUCUCAUUGUGGCCGAUCACAAUGCCUCGAUUUCUUUUGGAAAAAUAAAUUAUCAUCUCGUUUAUAAAGAAAGAUAAAGUUUAUGUGGCGUAAGGAGUAUUGUAUUGAAAUUAAUAUAUAUAUAUAUAAGCUAAAGUCUAUGUAUAAUUUGUACACAUGAAAUUAAUCAUACAAGCAACAUUAGUUUUCUUUUGAAGAAAAGUAUUGUGCUGAUAGCCGACUUGAUGUUUUCUCAAAUAAGCACCUGAUCGAGCAUUUUCUUUUGAAUUUUUAAUAGAUCUAUAACGAAUUUAUACACUAGUAUCGUAUUCUAAGUUCAUUUCAACUUAAGACAAACAAGAUGCUAUAAGUAGCAAAUAUUUCAGUCAAGGCUCAACAUCUAUUUAUUUUAGUUUUUAUUUUUAUUUAUAACGUUUUUAUUUAGAAGAAAUUACAUUUAUAAUUUAGCCGUAAAGGGCACUGAUCACAAGGACUAAUACAAACACAUGAAGGAUACAUCAACAACAUCUAGACAAUAAGAUAUCCCUCCAACCAUAUCCACAACUGGCCAAAGCACCUCCACCGCAUAAAGUCAACAAACUUGGAUAACGAGGCACGUCAACAACAUAAAGUAAAAUUAAAACUAAACCCUCACAAGGAAAGACAACUAACUCAUAAUGAGUUGUUGCAACUUAUUCCGACUCAGAAAAAGUCAAACAAAAAGUUAAAACAUGAAAAACAGCUCACACAACCACUAUGGAAGAGCCAUUGUACUUUAUCCAUCCUUGGGAUUCAAAUUUGAUACACAAAUUUGUUAGCCCUACCAUUAUUGUUCCCACAUCUUCGGAUUUUCUUCUUACUAAUUGAGGAUCUCUUGAGAAAACUUUUGAACCAGUGCGUCGAGAGUUUUGAGUGUCUUUCCAGUCCAUUGUCAUAAUCAAUGUAGUUGAUACCAAAUCGAACAGUAUAUCCUUCGCUCCAUUCAAAGUUGUCUAGCAAAGACCAUGCAAAGUAUCCCUGCACAUUAGCACCCUCCCUACAAACACCCAAAAAAGAAGAAGAACAUAAUUGGUUCAAUAUAGUGAUUAAAUAACCGAAAUGUAAGAAGGCCAAAACAUAUAUAGCCUUAAUUAAUUUGUUGACAAAAACUUACUUCAUUGCUGCUUGGAGGUAACAGAGGUGGCGAUAGUAAUAGUCAAUUCUAUUAGCAUCAUUAAGGGCUUGCUCGAGUGAUAAUUUGGGAUUAUUGAACUCAUCCAUGCCUACAAUAUAAUGCAGUAUCAAAUGCAUACAAUUUGUUUAACCGAAGAAAAAAUGUACAUUUAGUUUUAAGUUUAGAGUUUACAACACUUCACUUUAUUUUACACCAUUAUACAUAUAUGUGAAACAUUGAUGAUGCAAUUAAUUAAUAUUUUAAAAUAUUAAUUACGUACCAUUCUCAGUAAUGUACAUAAUUGGAUCAUUAUACUUUUCCUUUGUGUAGAGUACAAGAUCGUAGAGUCCUUUUGGGUAAACAUAUAACCAGUCUGAAGCAGCCUGCAAUUCCAUUUGAAGAUCAAUGAGACUUUUAGCACUUUAUGUGUAUAUGGAAAACAAAAUAUAUGCAUAUAUAGCUAUUAAUUCUCAAAAUCCCAAUAACUUAAGCUAAUAAUUUAUUGCGUACCCGUGGACCAAUGGGGACCCCAUUAAGAUCAGCUGCUACAACAUAAAUGAAUAUGAAUAUGAGGAUCUAAUUAUUAGGAGAACUACAUUAAUUUCUUGAAAUUUUCAAUUUGUACUCACUUGUAACAUUAACAUGAACAUCUGUUAGGUAGCUUGGAGGUGUAGUUACAGAAUAAUCCUUAGGAUAAGCGCUUGCAUAUCUAGCAGAGUAGUAGUUUAUUCCAAUAUAGUCAUAUGACCCACUCAGUGACUUGGAUUGUUCUUCCGUGAAAUUCGGUAACCGUGCACCAAGAAUGGAUCGCAUGAUCUGCGGGUAGUCACCUCUUGUCAAUGGGUCCAUGAACCUAUGAAAAUUCCAAACGUGAACUUAUAACAUUAUAUAAACUACCACAGGCUACCUAACUGAAGUUAUAAUUCAAAAAUUAAGCAUUUAAAUGAGUUGAUAUAUAAAUUAAUAAUACACUUACCACCCAUACAUAAAAUCCAAAGCUUGAAAUGCAGCGUCUUUAUCUUGUUGUGACUCCGAAGCGGGCUCAAACCAAUGUGAUACAACAGUUAUUCCUAUGACACCAUUUUGACAUGCCUGCUCCAGAAUGAUAAGUAAUUGUUUUUUUUUUUUCUUUUUCAUUUAGAGCCAAAAUAAUGUAUAUAUUAUUACAACCAUUGUUUAUCUCAGUAUAAAAAGUAUUCCCACUUAUAUUGUUACAUAAUACUAGUUACUCGUUGGACCUCAAUUUCUAAAAGAAAAAGAAAAAAGACUAACGGAAGUACCUGAUAUUUUUCUCUGUACAAUUUUACAGCAGCUGCAUGAGCAAGGAGUAGAUAGUGUGUCACCAAAUAUGGUUCAAUACCCGAAUCUCCACCAAGGCAAUUUUGGUUGUACCAAUCAGAGCAUCGUCCUGGUGCAUGGAUCCCGAUUGUGUAACCAUGGUUACUAAUGGUAUAUGGCUCAUUAAGUGUGGUCCAAUGCUUUACUCGAUCACCAAAUUCCUUAUAACAAAGGUCUGCGUAUGCUUUAAAGUCAUCGCUGCAUGUACACAUUGAAAUAUGUAUUUAUUGUAUAUAAUAGUAUUUAUAUAAUUAAGUGAUCAAUAUUAUACAAAGGAUGGAAAUUGUCCACUUACACAAUACGAGGGCUUAACAAACCACCAUAUUCGUCUACUAAGGCUUGGGGAACAUCCCAGUGAAAGAGUGUCACUAAUGGCUCUAUACCUAUAUGUAGCAUGACCAGUAAAAGAAAAUUAGAAGUUUGAUUAAACAACUGCAGGUACUGUUGUUAUAUUAGGAGGAUUUUAUGAGAUUGGGAGCUGUAUCACCAUUGCGUAGGAGUUCAUUGGUGAGAUUAUUGUAGUAUUCGAUUCCCUUCUUGUUAAUUCCACCACUUAGUUUUCCAUCUAAUAAUAAUUAAAACAAAACAAGAAAAAUAUAAGCCAAUACCUAUCAUGAAAUAGGAAUUAAAUUGAAUAAAAGAUGUUAAACAUUAAAGCGAUUGGUCGCAAUAAUAUAUGUGGAUGCGGAUGAUCAACUUACUUGGUAACAAUCUGGACCAUGAGAUAGAGAACCUAUAAGCAUCCAACCCCAUAUCCUUCAUAAUUGCCACAUCUUCCUAUAAUGACACAAAAUAUGUACAUAAUUAUAAAAAUAAAAAAAAGAAGCUAAAAAUUAAGGAUAUCAUCCUUAAUGUCGUGUGUUCAAAUUCAAAUAUAGAAGGUCUACAUAAUACAAUUAUGUGAUUUUCAAACCUUAUAACGGUGAUAUUGAUCAAUAGCAACAUCUCCAUUGCUACCAUCAGUUAUCUUUUCUGCAAUUAAUCAAAUGUAAUUUUAGUUAUAAAUAAAGAUACAAAGUAAUUUAGCUAUCUAGAUAUUUAAAUAGGGGAAUGCUCGCAACCUUCACCCUAACCAUCUUGGUUGGAACUUCUCACUUCUUCUCUUGUGUAUUAUUCCUCUUAAUUACAUUUUUGAAUGAUACAUUAAUACAUUAAAACAUUUGAGUUUUAUUUUCCAUGAUUACCCUUAUUCAAUUUUUUACAACUUUCUAACUAUCUUCUUUGAUCUAGGAGAGUUGUCAGAUCUUUGCUGGGUAAGGUCAUGGUUUCUGCGCAGUUCCCAUUGAGCACUUUGUAAGUGAAGAAUAACUAAUUUCCAUGAAGCAUUGGCUUGUUUAUACAUUGUUUAUAGCUUUUGAAAUGAAGUAACUGAUCAUCAAUUUAGUCACCCAAAAAAAUAGAAAAUAGAAGAUUUGUUAACUAAUUGAUUGUUUGAUUCAACAGACCUGGAUGCUCAUGGGUGAAGUUAUCCCAUACGCUUGGUCCUCUACCGUCUAUGUUUGCAGCACCUUCUAACUGAAAUGCACAUACAGAUAUACAUAUAAAACACGAUUUACAGAAUGAAGAUGCCAAUAUUCAUAAAUGACACAUGCUAAGUAAAGUAACUAUAUGAAACAAAAAAUUAAAACAAAUUCAUGAGUAAUAUUAAUUAAGCUCCCAGAAUGCACUGACUUGGUAAGCUGCUGUAGCUGCGCCAAAUGUGAACCCUGGAAAAAGAGUAUCGAAAUGAGUCCUGUUGAGAGUUGCACAAACAACGGGUGGAUCUGUCCUGGCAGCAUUGGUAUUUGCCAAUGCAAAGCCAAGGAGCAGCAGCACCACACACAAGAGCAAAGAGCGGAAUUGCAAUGCCAUAACUGAGUGGAGGGUUUUUGAUGAUCGAGCUAGGUGUGCUCUUCCUGCUAUAUUGCAUGGGGUUUAUAUAGAGGGAGUACGUAACUUCUACACGUGAAAAUAAUAAUUCAAAAGCAUUUUUAUUUCUUUUUUGUAAAGCCAAGCGGGCUUUAAAGCUAAGGUACGGGGACAGACAGAGAAAAGUUGGGACCUUCUUUUUUUUCCUUUUUUCUAUACUGCUGUAUAGAAAAGCAAUCCAAAGAUUCCCUUGGGACUACCUUCAGAGUCUGGUUUUGCUGCCGUGCCCUAACCUCUGGUUUUGGAAAGAUAAUCUAAUUGCACCCUUCUCCAUUAAUGUUUUCUAUCCUAUCUCCAUCAAUUGGCGUUAAUUGCUUAAAACAAAUUCCUCUCUCAUGGCAACUCUUGCUCAUCUUUAUGGGCGAACGCGAACUCUUCCUCAUUGGUUCCUUAGAAACUAUUUCCCUCUCAUUGUUAUUGGAAUUUAGCCCCAAACACACAGUAUACCUAUAAAUUUGCUGGCUUUAAUAUACAAUGAACCCAUAAUAGGUACAUUAUUUUUCGUAAAUGAAGUAAUAGGUAUGUUAUUUUCCAAACAUAAAAUUGUAUGUACACUAUUAUAUUUAUAAAAUAAUAAAAUAAUAGAUAAUUAAUCACGUAUACUUUAUAAAUAAAUAAAUAAAAACUUUUUAAUAUUAAAUAAACCGAUUAGGUAUGUUAAAUAUGAUUUUAUUGUUAAAUUAAAAAAAAAUUCCGAAUGAAUUCCAACAUCCAUUUGGAGAUCUUUCCAAAUUCAAUGUGUCUCAUUUAGUUACAAUCCAAUUAAAAAUUGUUUCUAUAUUGGUCUACAUUAAUAUACAAAAUGCAAUAAUGGCUUAGUUGGCGGUAUUUUAGGAAUCAAAAAAUAAAAUAAAUUCGAUUUUGAGCUUGAUUAGGUAACUUGCCGAGUUGGAUCAUGUUAAUGUAUGCAUUUUGGGUUUUUCUUUUGGCUUCUCAUGACAAUUUUGUAAUAUGAUUUUUAUUGUUUUUAUCAAGCUCAAGUUUGGAUUAAGAAUAGCUUCUCUAGGUGUUCUUAACUAACAACUAUCCUAUGGAGAUUCAAACAAAUUGACAAAGGUAAAUUGUGCAUUGCAUCACAUUGCCUUAAAUUGAUUUCAUAAAAUGAUGACUAGUCAUCUAUUUCUCGUAUGACUAGUCAUCUGUUUCUCGUAGGACUAGUCAUCAUUUCUACUGUUUGGUGUUUACUUGAUUCUGAUGAUUUCACACACUUUCACUAUAGUUGUUGCUAGCACAGAGGAUGCCUAGAUUGACGGGUCCUUCUGAAUGCCUAGGUUGUCACUAGUAAUUUUCUAGGGUUGCAGGUACACUGUGGCAUGCUCUGUGUGUAUUAUUGAUUGUGGCUGUUCAUGACUAGCAGUUGACAAGUUAUAAGUGUUUUUGGUCAAGUUCUAAAGUGUAUGAAGAUUGUUGCGUUUUGUUUAAGUGUCGUAAAAUUUACCCCUCGUCACCUAAGUACAAUUUCAAAUCCUAGUCAAGAAUAGAUUGUUGAAAAUAAUGAUAAAGGAAGAAGAAGAAGAAGAAGGGAAGUUGCUGGUUCGAUGUUAGAUUCUUUAGGGAAUAAUCAAGUAUUGUUAUAUAUUAUUCCUCUUCUUCUAAGUGUGAGGAAAUUGGUAAUCAUCUUUCUAAACGAACUUGUAAAUUAACACAAGUACGCAAUAGUCUAAAGAAAGAUUUAAGAUUGUAGACUAAAAGGAUAUAUACAUCAAGGUAUUAAGUUUUUUUCUGAAUUCGACACCCAUGUUUUUUUGUUCUUUGUCCAACAGCCAUUAGUUAUAGUGCACCUUCUAUAAAGAUUUCAUAUAUAAUAAAAUACGACGUCGUCCUUAUAUUUGACUCUCAGGAUUAUGAGAGUGGUCUUGGCAUUAUUCUACGGUGUUUUGUUAUACCAUGUGAUUAUGUCAUUCCACUCCAAUUCAAAUUCCCAUUAGCAUAGUUCGAAUUCAGGUGCAACAAGAUGGGCACUCUAAUCUAGGGGGUGGAAAAUCGAUCUCGAGUGUCACAAUGUGGGCAUACUACCUUGGCCAACUAACCCAACUCACAUUUGCAAAAAACAAAAGUUGCAAGGAAAGAAAAAAUUGAUAGAAGAAAUAAUUUUUUAAUGAAUACAUCAAUUUCUCUCAUAUAAUUGUGGCAUGAAAAACAUAUUACCUGCAAACUUUUAACCAUGGUUACUUUAAUUUACAUAGGGUUCAUUUCAGUUUGGUAUCCCAUAAAAUACAACUACAGAAUACUAUAAAAGUACAACUAUAGGAUACCAAAUUGAAAUUAACCCUUUUACAUAUGCCAAACUUUAAAAGGGGUGGUGAGGCUUAAGGGUGGUCAGAAAAAUGCACUCAAAAACGGACGUGGCAUAAUAUUUACUCUCAACACGUCCUCUCACCUGUUAACUGACAUGAACUACUUCCACUAUUGAAUAAUGUGCAAGUGGCCAAAAAAGAGAGUCUAAUCUGCAAGUAAUAGAAGUGGAAAAGAAAGUAGCUUUAAACCCCACGGCCAGACACACCCACACCCGCCUACUGCCCCACCUAAUCACCCAACCCCAAGCCCAAUAAAGAGAGAAGGUGGAUUCCGCUUUGUGAUCACAUUGACAGGACAGCACUUUUAUUGCAUCUAGGCUUGACUUGAAACCUAAAGAGGGGGGAGAAAGAGAGUAUGUUCCGAUUCUAAGAUGUUAAAUUUGCAUCAAUCUUUAAAUUUUUUUCGCGAAGACUAAGAUGUUGAACGCACUGCUUAAGAAGUUAGAGGUGGCUGCGCUCUGUUGUUACAUGUGCCUCAAAUAUUUAAUGUUUUAGGUCUGUAAGAGUGGCUAUAGUAUUUAUUCGCUUACUAUUAUUGAUGAAAUCAAAAAAGAAAAAGGGAUUACUUUUCAGAUACCUUAUCAAAAUUCGGAUACGGUGUCAAUCUCUAAGGGCUAAAGUAUGAUAAUGUGAAUAUGAAAAUGUUCUACAUUGGAAAGUUAAUUAACUUAGUAAGGGCUUAUGAAGAGUUGAGCUACUCUCCCUUUUGCGAAUUAGUUUUGGAGUGAACCUCAACUUUAUUUAUAGUAUCAGAGCGCGUUUGUCCACGUGUGAAACCUCAACUUCUGCUUAGUUGUGGUGAUUGUCCAUAAAUAAAACCUCAAUCACAUUUUCGUCCUCCAAUUUCGAUCGUGCUUAAAUUAGGGCCCUCGUUGCAUAGCAUGUAUUCUCAAUACGUCCUCUUCCCAGUAGCUUGACUUACUUUUAAUUGAGUCAUGUGCAAGUAAUAGAAAGAAGAUUUAGCCCCAUACUAUACUACCACCCAGCUAUCCUACUCUACACCUACCCAACUAUCCUCCAAUUUUGUUCUGUCAAUCCGGAGCUGAGUUGCGGUGUCAUGGGGUGAACAAGUUGAUGAACUAGCUGUUAUUUCCAUGAAGGACAAGCUACUAGCUCAACUAAGUUUAGAGAAGAAGGUUGAAAAUGGAGGUAGUGCUCAUUUCCUAAAUAGACCCAGGAUUGCUUGAGCUUGCAAUUACUUUUUCUAUAAGAACCUUCUUAACUUAUGCGUACACAUUUCUGGUGUGAUUCUUUGAUUUAUAUGCCUAGUCAUACUGUUUGUGUUAUAUCUGAAAUAUUGAUGAAUGUUCACGCACUUAUCGCUCUAGUUGUUGCUAGCACAGGGGAUGCCAAGAUUGAUAGGUCUUUCUGAGUGCCUAGGUUGUCACGUAGUUAUCUUCCAAGCUUGCAGGGAUUUAAAUAUUUGAUAUGUUGUGCAUUUGUGUUUAUGUUCAAGGGUCUAUGACUUCAUAUUGUCUCCACGUUUAUUUGAUAAUUAUUGUCAUACAUCUGUCCAUUGGGGUUUUAAUUUACCUCCUUCACCUAUGUACCAAUGCAGAGAGAGAGAGAGAGAGGGACUGAUGGAGACAAGACAGACAAAGAGCUCGAGUGGUUGGCAUGUGUGUUUUUCAAAUUUUGUGGAGCAUAACUUGCGUGUUGGCAUGCCCAAGCCCGACAAAAGCCAAAAGUUUUUAUCUUUUAAAUUCUUUGUACUAUAUUAUAUAUAUAAUUUUUAUAAUACCACGGUCUGGUUUGAUUAAACAAGUGGUUUUGAAUAUUGCAAACCAUACACCAAAUCAUAUACCCCAAAUCCCAAAAUCUUGUUACAUAGAGAAAUAAAAAAAUAAAACCGUCCACGCUGCAAACAAUUGUCAUCAGAAGUCCAAAAUUGCGGUCAUCAGGAAUAGCCAUGAACACAGGCCAACCCUCAGAUGGUGGCUGAGGCAAAAUUACACAGCAGGAAUAAUAUCAUGUAUUUUCUCUUCUAACGUAUUUAAAGUGUCUACUGAGCAUAUACUGUUACUUAGUCCCUAGGCCCAAGCAGUUUGGUUUUGUUCAGCUCUAAACCAUAAAGUGGUGUCCAAAGACAUACCACAAUUGGGAAGUGGCUGUCUAGUUUGACGGUUAUGCGCAGUGCGGUGAAGAAGGAUAGAGAGUGGGCUUUGUCUGUCAUGAGCUUUUUGCUUUGGGAAAGGCUGGUGGAUUUUUAUUUAUUUUUUGUUUUGUUUGAUAAAUGGAUGGUAUUGUGCAGGAUGAAAAAAAGUCUCUCAUGGUGGCCGAUCACAAUGGCUGGAUUUGUUUUGGAAAAAUAAAUUAUUAUCUCGUUUAGAAAGAAAGCUAAAGUUUAUGUAGCAUAUGGAGUAUUGUAUUGAAAUUAAAACAUAUAUAAGCUAAAGUCUAUGUAUAAUUUGUACACAUGAAAUUAAUUAUGCAAGCAACAUUAGUUUUCUUUUGAAGAAAACUAUUGUCUUUUUAACCGACUCGACGUUUUCUCAAAUAAGCACGUGAUUGAGUAUUUUCUUUUGAAUUUUUAAUAGAUCCAUAAAGAAUUUAUAGACUAGUAUAUUGUUCUAAGUUCAUUUCAACUUAAAACAAACUAGAUUUCUUAAGUAGCUAUUUUCGGUCAAGGCUCAACAUCCAUUUAUUUUAGUUUUUAUUUUUAUUUAUAACGUUUUUAUUUAGAAGAAAUUACAUUCAUAAUUUAGCCGUAAAGGGUACUAACUACAAGGACUAAUAUAAACACGUGAAUGAUACAUCAACAACAUCUAGAUAAUAAAGUAUCCCUCCAACCACAUCCACCAAUGGCCAAAGUACCUCCACCGCAUAAAGCCAACAAACUUGGUUAAACAAGGCACAUCAACAACAUAAAUUUAAAUUAAAACUAAACACUCACAAGGAAAGACAACUAACUCAUAAUGAGUUGUUGCAACUUAUUCCGACUCAGAAAGAGUCAAACAAAAAGUUAAAACAUGAAAAACAACUCGCACGACGACUAUGGAGGAGCCAUUGUACUUUAUCCAUCCUUGGGAUUCAAAUUUGAAACAAAAAUUUAGUAGCCCUAGUAUUAUUGUUCCCACAUCUUCAGAUUUUUUACUUAAUAAUUGAGGAUCUCUUGAGGAAACUUUUGAACUAGUGUGUCGAGAGUUUUGAGUGUCUUUCCAGUCCAUUGUCGUAAUCAAUAUAGUUGAUACCAAACCAAAUAGUGUAUCCAUCUCUCCAUUCAAAGUUGUCUAGCAAUGACCAUGCAAAGUAUCCCUGCACAUUA